Molecule: long non-coding RNA, 56636 nt
Filed under: Gallus gallus (chicken)
Lineage: Eukaryota; Metazoa; Chordata; Aves; Galliformes; Phasianidae
Description: lncRNA (ENSGALG00010018402.1)
Source: RNAcentral
AGCUGGGGAAGUUAAUUGCUUCCUAUACACACCCCUCCAUGCAGAGCAUAAAAGGGGUGUGCUGGGAGGGUUAUGGUUUGGCAGGAGGAAUGAGAUAGGAAGGAAGCUGUGUCCAGUAGUAGAGAUGAAGUCUGAACAUUCUACUUGCUGGUGCUUGCCCAAUAUUUCUUCAUAUUGACUGGAUUGUGUCUCGCAAAUGCUGCUAAUCCAAUGAACACUGCUUCCUCUUUAAUGUGAGAUUCAGCCACCUCAUUACAAAAACUAAAAAUCUGACUGUCUGCUAAGGUAAUAAUUUUUAACUGUUUUUGUGUAAGUGAUGCUAAAUACGAAAAAAAAUAAAAUAGCUAUGACCAGGAAGUUGACAUGCUCUUAUUUUGGAUUCUCCAGUACCAGGUUGGAGUUCAUUGUUUCCUGUCCAGUACAUGUUUACGUGGCUGUUGUAGUUUCUUCUGGAACAGCUUUUGUGGGUUUCAGUUCAGGCGGCGAUUUAUGUUGGUGCUGAAAGUACUGCCAGCACAGCUACAGGAGACCUCCUGAGCUCUGGGGCUCUAAAUCUCCUGCCACUUGACAUUAGUGAACAUCAACUCUGUUUCCAUUUUCCACAAGAAGAAAAAAAAUAGACUUUUUUUAAUUUUCCUUUUUUUUUUUUUUUUUUUUUUUUUUUUAAGCUAGGAGAGGGGUAUGUUAGUAACUGAUACCAAUGUGACCUCUGUCUGACUGACAGAAGGUUCAUCACUGCGUACUAUACCUGUCACCACAGUAAUGUAUGGAGUCUCAGCUGCCCAGUGAUUGCGAAGUGAAAAUUCCCAUCUCUGACCUAUAAGUUGUAACCUUUGGAUGCAUUGCAUGAAAUGCAGCUUCAGUGGUGAGCUGUGCAGUUGUUGACAAGGUGUGGAAAAUGAAUAUGAAAUAAGAUGAGCGUUUUCCAGCUUCCCUAUUCAACAGCAGCUUCUGACUGUCUGUUUAGUGAAACACUACCAAUAUGAUAAAGGAGAUAAAGAAGACCUUUAUUCCAGAAGGUAGCCUGAAAGGAAUACUUUUCUACUGGGAAUCUGGAUCUGGAUACCAAAGGUUUCAAAUGCCUUCUGUGUUUUGCAAAUUAUUAUGUGACAGCUAAAAUUAUACGAAAACAUCUUUCUUUUCUAGAUGAUUUCACAUUCCCAACAAAUUACUUUACUUACUCUUUUAACAUUCAUGUUCUAAUUGUGUAUAGAAUAUAUUAUUUUUUAAUAAAUUUACAAAGCCUGGGAAAAUCCAUGUGGAAUUUGUAUCCAUAGAGGAGUUCUCAUCAAACAACUAAUAUUGUGCUUUUGUCAGCUGAAAGCUGGAAUGGUUCCUACAUAUUAUCACUUGAUUAAAGCACACAGAUAGUGAAUUCCCAAAGAAAAUCAGAAAUUGCAUGAGCAUUUGGUACUGUUUCAUUCUGUGUUCAGAAGGAUACAGGUGGUGAAGCCAAUGAGCUACAGAUUUACUGAGACUAGAUAACCAUAUAUUAAAAACAAACAACAACAACAAAAGAAUCCCAGCUCAAUUCUGGCCGUAUCUAAUAUUAUAAAGUUACUUUAUUUGGUCUGGACUUUAUGAGAUAAAUUAAAUUAAGCCACACUACAUGCAGUCCAUUUUUGUCUUUUAUGGGAGAACCUUUCUAACUUUCUUCUGUGAUAAAGAAAUUCAAUGCAUCCUGUCAGGGUGAGAAGGAAGGAAAUCAGUUUUAUUGAAAUAAGAACAAAAUGAUAGUGUCAGAAACUGUAUCCAAGAGAUAAAAUAUUACAUCUAAUAAACACAUUACAUAUGGGAUUAGACAUGGGCCUCUAGAAUUACAGCACAACAGAAGUUAUAGGAAAACACUAACAUUAGUAUUGAAAAAUAAUGACUAGAGUUCCUAUUGUGGUUAAGAAAGCAAUAUUUGCAUUUUUAUUAAAGGAGCUUAAACAGGAGGAAAAGCUUGCUAUCCUUGAAUGUUAGUUUUUGUUUGAGGCCUAAGUCUGAAAGCCUUGCUCCUGCCUUUUAUUUCAGUGAUCUAAGUAGAAUUACUUCCGUGGGUUACUGGACCACUUGGUGAGUUCAUUAUGUUAACUGAUAAUAUACAGUCUUCAAAGACAAAAAAAAAUAGUAAGUAACCAUCCAUCGCUUCUGGAUAGCCAACAUUUCUACCUUCAAAAGUAUUUUCCCCUCACUGUCCAUUCAGAGGCAGGUAGCCAAUUUAUUGCCUGGGACUAAAAGCAUGCUACAGAUGUACAGAGACUUCACUACAACUUGAUGUGGCCAACAUUGCUUAAUUAAGCACAUAAUCAAUCACUCAUGCCUUCUCCUCCCUCUUACAUCUCUCCUUAUCACUUCAUAAUUUCCAUAUCCCUGCCAACAUGAAGUGAAACAGCAGCAUCUAAACAUCCACCCCCUCUUUCGUCAGCCCAGCAUUGUGCUGGCUGUUUCUGUAAUCAUAAAACUUGUAAGCAUGCACAGCGUAUACAUUGAAAUGUUACUCCAGAUGCAGCUUCCUUUGAGUUCAGCAGAUCUUUCACCACUGAAAGACCACUUGUCCUGUUUUUUGAAGAAGUUGCUGGUGUAGUUCCAGCAGCUGUUACCUUAGAGAGGAAUGGUGAAUUUGCAAAUGCCAAACUGGAGUGAGGUGACUGGUUCUUAGCACCACUUAGAUUUUUUUAUGACUUUACAGAAAACAUGUGGUCUGCCCAAGAGAGGAAAAAGAAAAAAUAAACAAAAAACCCACUCAUGUUGUCUGGGCAUCCAUUCAGGUAUCUGACUCUGGGCUUGGCGUUCCUGUAACUCUCCUGCCCAUCUAUCCUGUGUUGCAGGGCUCUAAGCCUUUAUGGGAACAACUUGGGCAGGCGUGUCUGAUCAGCACUCAAAUAGUGUCAGAGGACAGCAUGACAGGAUGCGUGGCUGUUGCCUCAGGCGAAAAGCCUAGCCACCCGUUUCCAGCUGCCCAUGUGUGUGGCUGGAGAUGGAAGACUCAAGCUUUCUCUCCCACUGUUAUCAGUAUUUCCACAAAGCCGUGGUAACCUACACAUGUUAUGGUGUGCAAAGAACAUGCAAAUCAGACUUGUACUUCAGCAUUGCUUUGCACCUAUGCUUAGAAUGUAGCAAAAAUGUAAUCUCCACACCUAAGUUCUCUACAAAAUAAUGAUAGCCAUCCUUUCUUUCUCACACCCUUUGCAUGUAAUUAUCUAUUUAACAUUCAGAAUUUUUGUCUCUUCCCAUGUUUUCCAGAGCCUAGCACAAUUUGAACCUGAUCAUAGGCAGGAUCUUUGGACACUGCUCUAAUGCAAAUAAUUCUAAUGAUAAGAGUAAUGCCCCAUGGGUGUUACAAAGCUAUCCUAGUAUACAAACCUGAUUGUAAUUUUAUUUAGAUUUUAUAUUACUGGCUAAGGGUGUUUAUCUUCUUGCCAUGUGCAGACAUGUAGUUAGUGCACACUGGCUAUGGGUUUCCAAGAUAAUGCAAUGCAAACAAAUCAUAUAUCGUCUGAGAAUGAGUCAGGCCGACAUUUCAACUUGAUUUGAUUUACUGUCACCUGUGUUGCAAUGACUAUUAGUCUGUUGAAAUAAAAAAAGAAAGGAAAUAAGGGCUUUUAAGGCUGGUGUGGGAAAAUACCUGUUAUAUAAGCAUUUUUGUAUCACAGAAGGAAUAAAAAAAGGGGGUUAGAAGACUUACAGCACUUGAAAUUUAAAAUGUGAUGCCUCCUCAAAAAAAAAAAAAAAAAAAAAAAGUGUUACGUUUGCCUUGAUGACAAGGUGAAUUCCCCUGAUAAGUCUGGUCUGAUUUAAUUCUUGUCCAUGCUCCAGCCUGACUUAGAGUGGUAGAAACAAGUGGAAUUCCACCCAUAGUAAGUUCAGGAUGGUCUUUCCCAAUGCACAGUACUGUAGCAUAGGAAAAACUCCAAAUUCAGGUCUGGAUGGAUUUCUUCACCACUGACGGCUAAAGUGAAAACACUGAUCCAAAUCCUCCUGACUGGUGGAGGGAUCUGACACUCUCAUCUGCCUGGGGUGGUCAGGCUUUGAUCCACGCUGUAAUGCUAAAAACAUAUAGAAGUUUAAUAGCUUUCCAUAUGAAGGCACUUUCAGAGCACAGAGUAGGAAACAGUGCAUUAGGUUGUUUUCCAGGAUGAAUAAUAUAUAUUUUCCUAAAUCACUGGUUGGCAAAAAUUCUGCCUUCACUCCCCUCUAGCCUCAGCCAGGCUGGCACUCCCCUAUGUAUUAGUUUUGUGUUUUGCCGACUGGACCAGGAACUGAAAGCUGUGUCGACUGGUAGUCUAUUUUGCUGGGUGUUUUUGCUGUGGAUACACUCUGAACUGCUGGAAUACCUGCUGCUCUUGAGCACAGAUAACAAGGUAAUGUAAGAAAAGAUUUCAAAGGAGACACACAGACAUGUUGUCUCAUACCUUUUCUGCUCCUCAUUAUUUAAAGUCUGAGAGAGAGAUGUGGGGGAAAAAAGAGCUCUUCACUGGUCCCGUGGGGCUGCAAAGACAUCAGCUCGUGAAUAUUUCACAAGUGUAUCUCUGUCCUGUAACAUUGCUGUACAGUUAUCUGCAGUUCAAAGGUAAGGACAACAAGAGAUGUUGUAUAUUUCAUUACUGAGGCAAGCACAAGAGCUUAAUUUUUGCACUGACAAAAGCCAGUUUUUUUUUUUUUUUAAUUCAGUUAUUAUGUUAUCUCAAUGACAAUGAGAUAUAGUUUAAAUCUUAAAUCUAAAUCAUUAGUCUAUGAUCUCAGUUUGCUGCAUCUUCUGCACAUCUAGUGAAUCUCUAACCUGCCAGGUACAGUCCAAAGUCAAAGACCUUGUUUUAAACUGCCUCUAAAUGGCAAAUGGCAAGGUUUAUUUUCUGUUUUACAGACUCAGUUUUGGUAUAUCUGUACCGAUUAUGCUUUCCAUAACACUAGCAUUUAAACAAAUUUCAAAUAUGCAGCCCUCUUGCAAGCAGUCCUAUAGUUGUGUAUUUGAAAAUCUUUAAUGGGAUGGUCCAAGACACGGCUCAGAAUACGUUUGCUGUGGUAACUGUGACUGCAUAAUCUCCAAAUUCUGGGGAGCCUUGCUUAUUUCUGGAGACAAGAAUGUAUUUUCCAUCUCAAUUCUCUUCUCUUUUCCUUCUGUUUCUUCCUCAUCCCGGAAGGAUUUGCCUUUUUCUCUUCAGCUGACUCUGAUUUCAUCGAAGUAGUUUUGAUAGUGAAAAAUUUAGAAGAAAUGGAGCUUGCCUGCAUGAAAAGAAAGGAAAGCAAGAGGAACCACACAAAGGAAAAGUGAAAUAACAAGCAAAAUGCAAAAUACAAAUUGCUUUUACCCAUCUUGACUGGCAAACAAAGCAAAACAGCAUCAGCAUGCACUGGAGUGCUUUGUAAGAUACAUGUUGUUAAAGAGCCUUGUGUUUUCAGUUAGCUGAUUCUGUAAUAAAAAUUGUUGGUACUGGCAGAAUUGCAUCAUUGUUCUUAGCAAGAAAAAGCAAUUUGGCCUAUUGUUUUCAGAAACAGUUUUCUCUUAUAAAAACAAUAUAGUUGUUUAACCUAAAUAUAAACACAUCUGAUGUCAAUAAUUCUAUAUACAUUACAGACAGUUACAUGGUCUUUAACAACUGUCAGUGCUAACAGAUAAAUUCUACUUUGCUGCAUUUGCUCAUUUAUUACCAAGAUUAAAAGGCACCAUCGUUCCUGUUGGCUCUUGGUGCUCUCUGCAGCACUUCUUGGUGCUCUCUGCACACAUGAAUUCUGGCAUUUGAGAUCUGGAAUCUUUCCUCCAUGGGACUAAAAGUGCUGCUGCUGUGACUGUUCCCUUCCAGCCUGACUGCUGCAGUUCAAAAAUUUCUGGGGAUAUGUAAUUAAUAUGUUUAGCACUGAAACACUGUAUAAGAGUGAUAGAAGAAGGGGGAAUGGCUUUAAACUAAAAUAGUGGAAAUUUAGGUUAGAUGUUACCAAAAAAUUCUUUACUCAGAGAAUGGUGAGGUGCUGGGACAGGCUGCCAGAGAAGCUGUAGGUACCUCACCUCUAGAAGCGUUCAAGGCUGGGUGGGAUGGGGCCCUGGGCCCCAGUCUGUUGGGGGGCAGCCAGACCAUGGCAGGGGGUUGGAACUGGAUGGGUUUUAAUGUCCCUGUACUUUGCCAUGAUUAAGCACCUUGUUUCUGAGCAUGGAUGCAACCACAUAUGCACAUCUAGACCCUCUAGGAGACACAGCACACCUAUCAGUUAGCAGGUUGAUUCUGGCUGACAGGGAAAUGCCAAAAAGUACAUUUGUGAUGGCACCUCUUUGUUUUAUAAAGAAAAUGGAGCCCCGGAGAUGAAAGGGGAUCUGGUCACAUGGGCCCCAGCACUGCCGUUCUGAGUCAUGACUGGAGACACAUCAGUAGUAAGACCACAGAUAAUGAGCUAUGGUUGGAUCAAAAUGCUGAUAAUGCAUCAAACUACUUCAGUGCAGAUUUGGAGGCUGCUAGUCAUAAUAUAAUAGAAUACAAUGGAACUCUGAAUAUUGUUACUCAUAGAGAUGAGUGCUCAGGUGCUUACACCUCCAUGAAUAAAACCACAUAGUUCUCAUGGAAGUGGGAUUCAAUAUAAAAUCACUCCAGAAUAUGUCUAUAAGCAUCAAAGACACAAUUUGAUUCCUUUGUCCUUCCAGAGAACUUUCCUUCAGGUUACUUUCAUGUGAGUUUUAAUAGUAAGUCCUAAAAUGCCAGCAAGGCAUCAAAUUGCACAAAACUUCAACUCAAUUUUUCUGUUUUAAAGAGCAUUAUAUUUUCCUUGUUAUUUCUACUUAGAUUUGUAAGGCAAAAAUUAGCAAUUAAAAGUAGUGUUCCUAUACUGUAUCUAAAACAGGUUUAGUGCAUCCUGGUUUAAAUCAGCGGAAUGUUCUUAGGGUGUGGCUGAAAUACCUUACAACUUCUUUAAAAUACCUCAUUCAUGUGUGAUUAAACAGCAAGGCAUUCUGUGAGUUAACAUGACAUUAAUUCUAUAGAAGAAAUAGGAGUUGACUGUUUAAUAGUUUCUGUUUAAUGCUAGGCCACACAGAAAAAUGCCUCUGUGAAUUAUCUAGAGGGCUGUUAGGGAAGGAAAGAUAUUAAUUGGUAUGAUGCAAAGUGGGAGGGACAUGUAAGAAAGGGAAAAUGAAAGGGGAGUACAGAAAACCACAGUUGUAACCAUCUGGUUGAAGAAUUGUUUUGAACUACUCAUCACUGCAAAGUCUUACUUUAUUGUUUGAAGCGUGUUUAGGAGUACCAUUGAUUUAGGAAAAAAAAAUCAUUUUUUUUUUAUUAUAAAUUCAUGAUUUAUAUUCCUCUCUCCAUUGGUUUUGGGGAAGAACAUUGAAUUAUUUGGUUAAGCUCUAGGUUUGGGUUGUGUUUUGAGUUGUUUUUUCUGUGUUGUUUUGUUUUGCUGUUUUGUUGUGUUGUUAUCACUCUUCUUUUAAACUCUUUUCUUUUUCUUUUUUUUUUUUUAAUAUUUUUUUCCUAUCUUGUUUGUCAGAUGUGAUCAGUGCAGAGGUUUUGAAAGCUCCUAUUCUCAAUGUUAUCUAGCUCUUAUUUGCACAAUUUAAGAAAAAAUGUUUCUAUCGGCAAUCAAUAAAUUAUUUGAGAAGUUAAGUCUCUGUCUUCCAAGCAUGUUUAAAUUUGGCCAAAUCCUAAACAGCAAAGAAGUAACUCCAUGUUUAAAACAAUGUAAAUGUAUCCCAGUUGUGGAAAAGAUUUGACAUGUUGUCAGCAAUUUAUGUCCAAGGAGAAUCUCAGUGUUGUGCAGCUUACAUAUCAUCUUUAGAAAACUGUUCUGUGUUUGUUUGUCUUUUUCUUCUUCUUCUUCUUCUUCUUUUUUUUUUUAAAUAUAAUUCUCAUAUUUUAUCUGAAGAAAUUUUAAAUACUGUAGAAAUGCUAAAUAACUUAGCUUUGCUGGUAGCAUAUUCUCAUCUCCAACAUUAACUUUCCCUUUCAGAAAUGUGGAGUUCUAUUGUGGAGAAAAAGCCACUAGUAUUGGAAAUUCGUUACUCUGUACUUCACAAAAUAGGAAUAAAUUUCGAUCACUGCUUUGAGUGAGGAUGGAAAAAAGUAUGACAUGAGUGUCAGCAGGCUCAGUAACUGAGUUAUACUUCUUUCAGGGAUCAUGGAGAUCAGUAGCUACAAAUACGUGACAGAAGAAAACUGUCAGAAGUUCAGUUCUUGAACUGCUGCAGAGUACAGAUGAUAAGUGAGUUUGUGUAAUCAGAUGCCUUGCAAGAAGCACCAGACCACCCCUCCUUAUGACUGCAGGACUGUUGUGUACAGGCUAUUCCAGGACUUCAGUUCUUCUAGUUCCCAUUUUUAAUCCAGAUGGACUAGGAAAGGAGGGGGGAGAAACACGACUCACCAACAAUACCAUAAACAAAUCAUGCAGAAUAAUGAUGUAGGCUCUACUCAGAUGCAUCACCCUGCUUCCUUUGAUUCUGAUAGUCUCAUUAGUAAUGUUGCCAUUGCUGUGUGAUUUAUUUAGGGGCACUGUGUCUGCAACUGAGCUGUGUGAUCUAUACUAAGCUACAUGGUUGAAUACACCUGAAUAGUGUAACCCUAUGGAAUAUGGAGGCAAUGUGUUGUAACUUACAUAUCUUCUUCUGGAGAAUUAUGAUACAAUCUGAUUUAAUUUUUACCUGAUGUUUCACCUAUUAAAAUGAGACAUUUAAAAAGGGGGGAAUUUGCAGCUGCUGGUUUCUCAGAAAAGAUCAACUGUUUCUGUAAUUAAUAUGGAAGAUAACAAUUUAAAAUAAUGAAACACCCAUAUUAUGUUUGAAGAAAGCAGCUUGUUGUUAUAAUUAGAACUAGAAUCAAAUUGUUCUGAUGGCAAACACCAUUUACUGAACUCCAUGAAUGGAGCAGCUUCAGCAAGCAAAUAACAUAAGUGGGAAAAUACCAGAAACGAAACAGAACAUGGAAAAAUUAAGCUGAUGAGAAAAUCCUACAGCUGAACUUUUCGAGGCCCCCCUCUAAAAGAAUAAUGCACUCGAAGCAUGCUUAUGUUUCUGGCAGAGAACGUGGAGCUAUGACCAAGUUCUGACAUUGUCACAGAUUUCACACAGUGCCAUGAGGACAAUGGACUUCUCAGGAGAUUGCAUUACAUCCUUUCUGUGGCAGUACCGGUAGACAAGGUGAAAAUUCAUCUGUGUCACUUGCUAUUGUUUCAGUCUGCCUUGGAGAGCUAAGGCAAUGGGCCUGCCCUCCCAGCUAAUGUUUCUUCCAACAAUUUCUGCUGUGUGCCUUUUCAAACAUUGGCUGUUUACCAUGUGAAAGCCUCAUGUGAGAAUCUGCAUGUGGGCCCAAACUUGACGUUCUGCUUCUGGUGGAUUUGAGCUGUUGAUUGGUGAUUUCUCAAAUCUUUAUUUCAAUGAUGAAGCUUGAAAAUAUUGUCUUCAGGACAUUGGGGUCACUCUAAUUUGUUUUUCCCUGGGCUUUACUUUCUCUGCUGUGUUACACUGUAGAAGACACAAGAGAGAGAAGUGCUAUUCCUCUCUUGUUUCAAUCUGCAAAAUCUCUGCUUAUUUUGACAAUGAAUUUUAAUUUCCCUGCUUAAGAGACAGGUGAGCAUAGAGGUGGAAUACAUUUUGGGCCUGUGACCCUGACUGGGCUGUGUCACUAGCUGAGGAAUUGGUGGACUAAAAUGAAGUGUUCAGCAACUGUUGGAGAGCAAAACACACAAAAGAAAACCAAAUACUACUUCAUUGGUUUGGUUUCUGCUAAUUACAAACAGAACCCUCAUCUGAAACUGAUAAUGAAGCUCACAGGAUUUUACAGUGGAUCAUAUCUACUCCUAUUGCUACUGGGAUGUCGAGAAUAUUCUCAUUUCUCAUGCCAUGGGAGGCAGUGUGAGCAGGGAUCCUUGUCCUCCUCCUCCAAAUAAACCUACUCUGAUAGGAUGGGUUGUACCCUUAGUAGGCUUGAAAUACAUGGAGAUCCAUGGAAAGUAUGUUCCCUUAACCAUUCCUAAAAAUAGGCUUCUGUACAUUGUACUGAUGGCUUAGCUGAGAGGAAUCGCUUUGCUGUGAAUUUGAAGUAGCAGAAGGAUUUUAUGUAUUAAUUCCUUCAUGUGCUUUAAUAAUAGUUUUUAGCAUUGUUUAAUUUGUGCUUGAGCAUUGCAACCAACAGAGAUUGUUCAUUAUUGGUAAGCAUUUGCUUGUACUAACAAGAGCAUAUGUGUAGCAAUACUAUAGCAGAGAAAUACCUGCUUUGGUUUUAGAUUAGUUUAGUAAUGCAUUUUCUUUUCUUACCCACAUUUUCUACACACAUCUUGGGAUCUUCAACAGAUUUUUGUAUUUCUAAAAGGUUUAGAACAUGUCACUUUUAAUGAAAUUUCUUCAUGUCGCUAUAAUUUUCCUGUAAGUUUCAGUUUUUCCUUGGGCACUUUGGCAGCUGAUAUAGUAGGAUCCCAUCCAAAACAACGCAGCAGCAUCCCUAGAAUUCCAUCUUGCCGUGUGACACUGCUGCUGAAUCUGAAAGAUGCAAUUGAAGACUGAAAACCCAGCAUGUAUGAGCAGGAGAAAAGUGCUUAAACCACUGGGCAGAAUAGGCAUACUGCCACACUUAUUGGUAAACAAACUAAACAGGUGGAAACUUCAUUUUUGAAACAGCUUUCCAGGUUCCUUGAGUGCAGAAUUGUUGUAUGACUAUAACUGAUCAUACGAUAAACUUAUCAGACUUCCCGUUUGUCUUUUGUCCUAAACUAUUUGUAAUGUAAUGUGGUAACAGCAGCUGAAUUCCUCCUACUCCAUCCAGAUAUUUACUUGCUAAAUGGUCCUUGUCAUCAUGGUAUCUGAAUGCCUCUCACACACUAAUGGAUUGUAUCCAUAAACUCUCCAGUGAGAGCAAGAGAAUAUUAGCCCCAUUUCUACAAAUGGGAAAAAAGGUAGAAGUGAUACUCUUGUCUAUUCUCUGAGUGUAUCUCAAAGGAAUAACAGAAACUUCUUGAAUUAGACUUCACACCUAGACAGGAACUCAGAAGGGAGCUCUGUCACAACCAUCUCUUUAAGGGACAAAUAGCCCUCAUUGUGCAUAGGGUAGGAAAUGACUUUUCUGAGGUUAUACUGGAAAUCUGUGACUGAUGACAGAAUAGAACCAAGGUCCCUUGAGUACUGUAUUCAGCGAGGUUAUGUAUCCAACUAUAAUUUCUAUGUAACACUUAUUUAGUUAAUAACACAAAGUGGAUUUAUUUGUUUGCUUUUUUGUUUUGUUUUUCAUUUUUUCUUUUUUUUUCCCCCUGAUGUUUUUAUCUUUAAAUGCAUUUCAUGCUUCAGGUUCACUGUAGUUCAAGAAAGUCUAACAUAUAUUUAUAAUGAUCCUGGAGACAAUAUUGUUGUCCAUGAUGUCUGAAGCAGAAAAAGCAGACUUUGAUUUUCAUAAGCUCUAAUGACCCUCCUGGGCAGUUGGAAAUGUACAUUGUUUGAGAUAAUCAGACAAACUGAUUCCAUUAUAAAAAGACGUAUUGUUUUUAUUUUAUGUUUCACAAGCAUUUUGUCUAAUUAUUGCUGACAUUUCCAACCAUAUUGUGAAUUUUUUCAGGGGGAAAAGAAGGAGUUUAUCUCCAUUAAAACUGGAAACAAACUGAUGCUAACUGUUUUUAUAAACUGAAAACACUAAAAUAAAAUGAAAUGCAUUAGAGCAAUUAGGAAGAAUUAUAGCAAAGUCUGUCUCGCCUAUAUUGUUACUUGUGAAAAAGAAAAAAAAAAAGGACAUACCAAAGAUUAUCAUUUUGCAGUAUGAGUCUGUUGUUCUAAAAAAGCACCCUGAAUGUUUUUCAUUAAGCUGUUUAGCACAGGAAAUCUGUUAUUGUUUAACCCUUUCACACACCAAAGUAUUGAAACGCAUUUAAAUGCUGAAAUAUAAAUGCAGACACAUUAUACACAAUCAUUUAAGAUUCAAUUAUUCUGCAUGUUCCCAGUUGUUUUUAUAGAUCCUGACAUAAGUUUCUUGGGCUAAAAUACCAUAUAGUAUCUAUCGACAGAGAAGUGCAGUGUCUUAUUUAGUAGGAAUGGUUUGAAGGCAGUGCUGUGAGAUUCUCCAACUUGUGCGCAGUGAUCCUUUUCUGAAGCAAAAGAUGAUUCAGUCAUUGUUAUUGGCUGACCAGCAAGUAAUUGGUUAACACUACAGAGUUUGUAAAUCACAUUGAGAGCUUGAUUGCAAUCCUAUUACUGUGGGGAAGAGCACCGUUUCUCAUUUGUAUUACCUGGAGAUGAAUUCAGUCUUCAAAAGUACAGAUAAUUUUUUUUUUUCUUUACAUUAGGAAGUUGUGAAUCUAAUACCUGGUUGAAAACAAGGGCAGUUUGACAUAUCUGGCUGCAUCCUGCUGUACUUUAGAUAUAGCAAUCAUGAAGAACCAAAGCAAGGUCCUACUCCAGGUAUAGCUGCAGCUGUGAUUGGUCUCAAAAAGUGACCUGAUAUCUGUCUUAACAAAAAAAUAAAAAAUAAAAAAAUAGUUAAUUCUUAGACAGUAACCACAGACUAAGUAUUUCUGAAGUUUUUCUUGUCUACUGAUUUUUGUCCUGGUUGUCUGUAUAAUCUUGUCCCUGAUCUUCCUUGGAGAGCAGAUUUUCUUAUGAAAGUGUGCUUUAUUAGUAAGAAUCUUCCCUAGGUUUUCCACUGCUUUUCUAGGAGCAAAUUUGCUAGAGUUAAUGUAAGUCCAGUGCACUGCCUCCUCAAGUUUAAGGGCUACCAUUAUGACUGGAGUAAAUCUGCUAAAAUCUAUUGGUGCUAAUCACUGUUCUUGAUAUUAGCUGUUACACUAUCUGUCUCCUUCAAAGAAAGGCCUGCUGAGCACAUUUAUCCAAAAUACUCUGUAGCUCCUGCAGUCAAACACAGCUAUUCGGAAAGGACAUAAUCUGUUUGUCUUGAGAACUUUGCCAUGUACUCAUAAAUCUUGUGAAACAACUAUACAUCUGGGUUGCACAGGACAUACCAGACUGUGAGAUAAUGCAACUGGAGAGAUGUUAACACAGCCAGGUAAAAAAAUAGAUCUUUAAAAAACAAAAUCUAGGCUGACUGUGGUUUAUUAUUCUACAAGGAAAAAAUGGAAAUAAAGUAGUGUAAUUUUAAUUAGGCUUAUUAAUCUUGGCAUCUACCCAAGUUAUCUCAGGGACUUUUGACAACUGUAGUUCCAGGUCUUUGACAGUCUGUCAGGUUCCUCUAUGGGUGGUUGCAGACGAUAUUUCCUUUAUAAGUCGUGAUAGAUAAUUUCUCCCAGGAUGUAACUGGGUGGGAGCACUUUCAUUAUGAGACAUCUAAAAGAUUUCAUUUUAUUGUUUCUGAAUAGGAAUUGCAGAAAAAGAUAUUCUACAAAACGUUUGACAUUUUGAAUUUAUUUUCCUGGUCUGUGAGAAAAUCAAAUGCAAGAAUACUGCCUUAUUAUUUGGGAUGGAUAUUCAAUUUUUUGAUCAACUGAACAGUGAGAAACUGAAAAUUGGUCAUGAUUAAUGACAGUGUUACUGAUCUUUUUCUCUAUAUUAAAAAGAAACCCCAGAGUUCAAAAAGAGAAAUAGUAGAAUGUAAAACUACAAAAGUAAAAGGCUAAUAUUUUGUUCCAUGUUUUUGUUUUCUGCCUCAGGAAAUGUACUGCAUACGAAACAUAGUUAAAAAAAAAAAGAGAGAGAAAGAAAAAGGAAAAGAUUAUUUCUUUGAAGACAGCAGACAACACAAUUUUAGUAAAUAUAAUAUUUAUAGGACCUUGCAAUUAAUUUACAAAAAUUUUACAUCAAAAAUGUAUGCUGAUGAUUUUAGUCUUUAGGGACGACAAUUGUCUCCUCAGUCAUGUUUUCAUACACUAAAGGCAAUUAUUGUUGCUUCUAGCUGUAAUAAAAAAAUAACCAAAACAGAUAGAAAUGUCUUAGUAGAAAUUGAGCUGAAACUCCCACUGUGGAAAUAAUCAGAAAAUUAAAAGCUCUGCAAUCUUGCAAAUAACAUUGCAACUUAAUAUUAUUGGAACAUAACAUUAUUAUCUCUUUUUAUAGGGGAAACAAACAUAAAUAUGUUUUCAAACACUGCUGAUGUUAUGGUUUCUCUUUAUUGGCUGACAGAAAGGAAAGAAAAAGGAGAAAAACAAUAAAUUUUGGAGUUGCAUAUCAAACAACCAACUGGGAAUCCAUGAAAAAUGAUCAGCAGUGGCAGGAGUAUAUUCUUGCCACCAUUAGGUCAGCAUCUUCUCCACUGAACUGUCUCCACGACACCUAUGAGACAUGGCCCAUCUGCCAUCUGAUAGGUUUUAAACUAAAUGUUAUUCAUGUUUGGUUCACUUACUCCUUUAUUAGCUACUGUUAGCUUCACAAUCUGAGCAGGACAGUUAGAAACUCAGAGCAAGAAAGGCAACUAUUUUUUUUUUUUUUUUUUUUUUUUUUUUGAUCUUCUUUGACUGAGCAGCAGCAGGCCAUAAUGUAGUCUCAAAUUAAGAGAAAUUUACAUCACCCUACUUUUUUCUUCUUUGAGAGUAAACCCACUUUCGGGUCUAUUUCUGCUAGAAACAGACAUCUGAAAUAGCUCACCAGCCACAGUGGGCAGACUCUGAACUCCUGGCUGUGUGAAGUCCACUGAAUCCUAUGGUUCUCUACUGCAUUUAGUAACGGCUCAAAUCCAUUAAAGAAGUUGCACCCCCUUUAUGACAGUGCGACAAAAUAAAUUUCAGAUUUGAGCCUCCCAGAAUUAUACUUCCUGCAGCCUUUGUUAAUGCUUCUAGCUUACAAGUUAAUUCAAAGUGAAUACUUAUGCUCUGUCCUAAUGAUUAUUGGUAAAUGUUAUGGGUCUUUUACUUCACCUGUGACCCUAACAGAACAGCUUUAAAACAAGUCAUAAUUGUUCUUCCUGACACCCAUACAGACUUUAGGAACAGAAUCAUCUAAGCAAGUCUGAGAGGUGAUAGGAACCAAACUGAAAUUCCACCUGACCAUCAAAUCAAAGCCAGUCAUUUUCUUUUCAUAUCACAGUAGAAGCAUCUCAUGAUCCACAAAGAUUUUUCAAAAAGUAAUCCAAAGGUGUGGAUGAUCAUGCCAGUGCAAAGUAACCUCUGAGACCUCACUCAGUCAAAAGUUAGGCCAUAUUGCUGGCUUUCCUCUCUGUAAACAAAGUACCUUAAAUAUCAAUAUUAAUUUAUAUCCUACCAACAACAAACCAAGGGAUGCUCCAACAGUGUCUUAAGAAGUUAACUUCCAUCAGCUGGAAUUUAUCAGCCUUCAGAUGAAAGAGCAGCUGAAUGCAUGAAAGCAUUUAUAUUGCAGUUUGUGCUGGCUAGGUUUGUUCUACUGCUAGUAGGGACAGUGUGCUUGUGUGGAUAUCUUAUCUUGGCUUACAGUGUGUAUCUUCUUGCACAAGGGUGGUAAUUGCUAACUUGACUGUUAGUGAUCAUAGGCACAUAUUCCACGAAUUAGAUCGAAGUCCCUCUUACAGUAACGCUCUCUAGGGAAGCAUUGUCAUUUUCUGAAAUGUUUUUUAGGGAAAUAAAGGAAAACUAGGUAUAUUUUUUCACUUUCUAUUUUAUUUUUGAAAACAAGGUAUUUCUGAUAAUCCCUAAUACUCAGGAAAGUUCAAAUUAAAACCAGCAGUGCAGUACUAAACCCACAACUUCCGGAGUGAGAGAACCUGGAUUUGAGAGGAACACAUUAAUGUAGGCAAAAGAAAAGGUACAGAUAAGGUGCUGGUAAGAGACUUGUGGACAACAUGAGAAAAAAAAUAAUAAUAAUCAGGUGUGAGUAGCAAAUGAUGAAAAUAUAAUAAUGCCACCUUUGUCUGGACAUCAGUGUUUUUUGAAGGAUGUUGAAACCUACUCAUAUCAUAAGGUCAGUUUGGGAAUGAAAAGGAGUAUCUUCUGUUCCAGGUUUAAUUUCCCAGUAACUGGCAAUACCUACAGGCAUUGCUAUCUAGUAUCUGACAGCAUCUAGCAUCUAAAUAUGAUAGAUAAGAGCCUGGCAGACAGGCAGGGGACUCCCUCCCUCUGUUUAUUCAUGUGAAAUUGGGAGGAGAGAAAAACCUCCACAGGAUUUCUGACCCCCUCUUUCAGCUCCACCCCUGUCAAAAGCUGAAACUAAUGAGCUGGAAAUAGGAAAUGUGCAAAAUACCUGACACUUCCCUAUCUGAACUGCAUUCCUUAAGAGUUGUUUUUUUUAUUACUAGAUAAAUGCUUUGACAUGUGUAUUUAUGUGAAGUCUGAAUGUGAUUUAGAUACCAACUACCUGCUGAGCUAAGAAUAUUUGCUUCCUACUUAAACCAAUAUGUUUAUUUAAAGGAUCUUUAAGUUUUAAAAUGCCCUUGGCUUCCAUCUCUGUAGAUGGGUAACCUUUGUAUGUGGAAUGCGUUGUGCACUCCAUUUGUUAUUAAUAUAAAGUAAUAUUUUCCUUUUGCUCUGCUCCAUUCUUUCCUUUAGGAGCCUUUUUACUGUAGCAGACUCACAAAAAAUGUGCAUAUGCAUAUUUGGAAAAGGACAGAAAAGGUUGAUUCUCAGAGCUUCUUCUUAAAGAUGAUGUCCACCAAUCUUGCUUAAAUAGCAAACAAAGGGUCUUUGUUACUCUUGCAGAGAAUUAUUUUGAGAGGUAGGACAUUUCUUUUGUUCUGUGUCUUUGUGCAUAGCACAAUGGGGCUAGAACUUGUGGAUGCAGCUUUGAUGUAAAGAAUAAAUGGCAAUGUACAGACCGCAUGAGUUAAUUCCUGAUUUUUAUUUAAAAAGGUCUCAUAACUCAGAUUUGUACUUUCAAGGUAAAUUCCUUGACUCCCUACUCCCUGGUUAUUUGUGUUUAACACAACUAUCCCUUUGCUCAGAUGAAGUUCUCCCUAAAUUUGAAGGAACAAAUGAAUAAGAAUAUGCGGAUUUGUAACCAAAUGCAGAGAUUCUUUAUAUUUACUUUGAAAUCUGAAGAGCUAUUUUCAGGUUCUCUGAUCAGGAAAUGUUUAGAAGGCAGCUAGCAGUUAGAAGGCAUGGUCACAUUCUGAAAUUUCUAGCAAAAAUCAGGGUACCUUUUUAAUGAAAAUUCAUCUUGUAAAUAAAACCAUCAAUAUAAUGUAGGCUAAUCCCUUCUAGAAUGAAGUCCUCUGAAUGCAGAUGCAUAUAACAGGAUAUUUGGGUUCCUGUCAACAACAUCACUGACACAUGUGCUUUAAGGCUUUCACCUUCUAAGCCUUUCACCAGCAAUCUACAAUGCAAAGUUUUGAAGGCAAUUACUCUUUCUUUUUAAUUUGAGCCCACAUUCAAUUAAGUGGAGCCGAAUUGCUCACAUCCUUUCAGCCAAUUAGUCACAGGCUUAAGUUUUUGUUUUGUUUGUGCUUCUUUCCCUCUCCUCCCUGCCCCCUCCAGAGAUAUUCCCUCCUUGGAUUCCCUAACGAACAUAACCCAAACUGUCAAAACAAGUUUCUGGGUGUUAAGGCUUCAGACAGCAAGCUCUAAGCACCAAAUCCACAGCAAAGCAGGUGCACCCUUUGGAAAACAUGCAGUGUUUGGGGUUGGGAUCUGUCCUUGUGGGCAAACCACGCAACUGCCUUGGGGUGACAGCAAGUGGCAUAGCAGCGAGCGGGAUCUUUGUGCAGAAGACACAGUGGCAUUCACAGCUGAGCUGAAUCAGAUUGAAAAGGAACUGUCAAGUGCUGUGCGUGCCGUAAUUAACCUUUUUCAGGUUUCCUUCCCAUCUUUUAACCAAGCAUCCUUGCAGGCUAUUAUGCCCUAAAGCCCAUAAUGAUAUAAAGCUGUGAUGAUGGAGCACUGACCUCUCCACUCUGCUCGGAUCUGACCCGUAAUGUUUUGAGUAGCGGAGAUCUGAGCAUCUACUGAUAUUUUCAUACCUCUGUAAGAAGUAGAAGAAAAACCCACUUGACUUAUCUGUUGCAUAUUUCCACACCAAAAACUGUUAAAUGACAUUUACUGGGGUAGAGAAAGGGGUUCCAGGGCUCAUUUUUAAUGUAAUUGUUAAUACAAUAAUUUAUUGAGACUGUUCCCCUGUGGUGAAAUAAUGAAAAGUAACUGAAAAGGGCUGCAAGGGCAACUUGUGAGUGAAGGAUUAUGUUAAAGCAUUGCCCCCCUUGUGAUUGCUUCAAAUAUUUGUAUAAUAUAGUAUGUUGCCCUGAAUAGUUAUAAGUCAUAAACACUGAGCAGGACACAUUAGUAAGAGAUACUCAUUCCAAAGCAAAUAUUUCACUGGCAAUUAAUCCACGAGGUGAUAAGAAAGAUUUUGUGAAGAUUUAACAUAGGGGAAUUUAAAAUAAAUAAAUAAACAAAAAGAGGUGGGACAGGAGUCGAUUUUAACUAUGGUUUUUGUUUGUUUGAUUGGGUUUUAAGGUAGGAAAAAAAAAAAAAAAGAAAACCUGCAUGACAUGGCAAGAUCCUUAGGAACAUACGUGGUUGCAAGCUGCUAAUUCCAAUUAGACAAAUCACAUACUUAAAGUUAGCCCAAGAGCCUUGCAGAAUCUGAUCUAGAAAACCCAAAUGCUUUUAAAACUUAGGAUAUGGCUCAAAGGAACAUUGUAAAACAGGUUUUUUAAAGAGAGUAAAAAUGCUAAUCUGUCUAUUGGGAUUUUAUUUCUUUUCAUUAUGUAAUAGUUAAUAAUAUUUGAUUAAAAAUCCACAUUUGCAAUUAUAGUCUAGAAAUUUGCACAAACUGUUUGCCAAAGUCAUUACUGCAGUUCUAUAGUAACACCUUAUCAGUUUUGUAAGGAAUGCACUCUCCGAAUUUUUUCUGUAAAGUUGUUUCAGAAAAGCACUGCUGCAAUCACGUCACUUUUCAAAUCCCGCCCCUGACUCCUCUCACUACUACAUCAAAUCAAACAAGUUCUUACCCUGAGCUUGAGCACGCAGUGAACUUCACAUAACUGAGCAAUCACACGCAUAGGGCUGUUCACAUCCCCGUGGUUUUGCAGGUCCGGGGGCUAACUUUUCAUUAGCUCCUGACCUCUCUUCGUGGCUCACUCUGAACUAUUCUCAGCCAUCUUUCUUGUUCCCUGUGUGCAGACCAUCCACCUCACAUUGGCUGGGAAAAACACCCUUACAAAAUUUUUUCCUUGAACCCACUCCUAGCACGAUCCCUGCAUGAAACUGCUGGCUAAUACUGCCUAAAUAAAUGGCCAGGAGCAAUUCUGGUGUGAAGUUUUAGUUCCACUUAAUUUACCAGGGCAUCCACAUCACUGUCACAAAGAUUUCAUUCUUGAUCAUAUUGUUUUGUGUAUGUCUAUUUUAAUUCUUCUACCCUCUUCCCUUCCCCCAGUCUUACUUAUUUUAUUUUUAAUUGUUUUUACACUCGUUUGUUAUUCCUAGAUGCAUUCAGCAUGGCUGAAACUGGCUGUAUUAAGUCCUUUCAUGUCUUCCCCUUUCCCUGAUGGAUUUAAUCAUAAAUAGCUAUUUCAGAGAAUAUUUUCCCUAAGAAAUGCACAUGUCUAAGGAUAACUUUGUGGGUUUUGAUAAAGAGACAUUACUGUGAGCUGUAAAGGCUUCAUGAAAUCAGGAAGGGCUGACAGCAAAGUCCUUUGUUUUAUUGCAAAUAUCUAAGACCACAUAACUGAUAUAUGGCUGGCUUCACAUAUGGCUUGCCUUUCUUGCCAAGUCUACUGGAAGACAAGAAGACUGAUCCAAGAGUUAUUUUUUGCAUGUGCUUGGAAGUCCUGAUUGCAGAUUCCUCCUACAGUAGGGAUACACUAUUUCAGUAUCAGCUUUAUUGCACCAUGCUGAGAUUUUACAUCUUUAACCCUAUGUGCCUUGGCUGGCUUUAAAACAGUAAUUAUUUAAAAUUAAAGGAAAAAAAAAAAAGGGAGGAAAAGAAAAAAUGAGCUAAGUAAAACAGCUAAAAGUAUUUAUCUUGCUCUUACUAUUCGGGGUAAAACUUCCAUUCAUUAAAAAAGGGACUGAGAUUCCACUGCAGUCCCUGCAGGGCUGUUAAAGAUGACAAAGUAAUUUGAUAAUACUCUCUAUACACUGGAUGUGUUGCAACCUUCAGUGCUUUGCCUUCCCACCUGACCCCACAAGCACACCUUCUGGAUCCGUCACUGGGAGAUGGGGAGGAUCUGUGGGACACUAAUUCCCACUGACAGCUCCCAUUCUGCAUACGGGAGGCUGCUCCCAUUGUUCCUGGAAGCACUUCUCUAUAUUAUCCACACUGUGAUAGCUGUUCACUGCUUCUCCAUGUCUGGACAGCCUGAUGAUAAUUUGGGAAACAAAGCGGUUCUGUCAUGUUUGUUGGUAUUUUUUUUUUUUUUCUCUCCUGAGUUUUUUUUUGUUUUCAUUUUCAUUUUUCUUUUACUGUACCUGCAUUGUUGAGUGAGGUUUCCUAAUGUAAUCUUGGUAGCAUUUGCUUAGAGGUUGUCAUGCCAAAGUAUGAGGUGUGAGAAAGAAAAAGAAAUAUCUGUGAGCCAACAAAUAACAUUGAAAUGUAAAAAAAAAUAAUCCAAAGAAUAAUAACUUAUUCUUUACAGUCAGACUCAAAAACAGACUUUGAUGCACUUACAUCCUUUUGUCUUUACUGUUGCAUGAAUAUGGGACAGACUUGAUUAGAGUUUUCAAGGUUUUUCCUUGAAUUGGUGAAAUCUCACUGACGUGAUGUCCUCUGCCACUCUUUUAAAAAGCAUCCAACGUAAAUCCAGAGUUCCUAUAGUGCUGAACACUUCUCCAAGGGCCUGCUUUUUGGAACAGCUAUCCAGACAAAAGGAAAACGUAUGUAUAUGUUGCCUCCUUUCAUGGAUGGAAAAGUGAGAUUUGUCCUGUGUCAUAUUAGGAUCCUUCUAGUUCCCAGAAAAGUCAUCUACUCUCAUGUCUAUACACAGUUAUGGGGCUGACACAGAAACAUUGUAUAGCUGAUAAUUUCAGAGCAUUCUUUUGCUAUUGGUUUUGUACUAAUGCAGGAUAAAAAAUAUAUAAGAAACACAUGAAUAUUAAGAAUAGUGCUUGUCUGCCCAUCUGGGGAGUGAGAGCAUCAAAACCUUUUAUGACCACUUAUGUCAUGUGUGUUUGAAGGCACACAUCAUUCGAGUUUCUGCUUUCAUAAACAGACAAGGCUCCUACAGCGUAACCUAAAGACUUCACACAACUGGUGCAAAAGGCCACAACAUUAGCAGCAGAGCAGGAUGCAGAAGUCCAGAGUCUAAAGUGCUUUUCAUCAAAUUUAACCUGGGGUAAGCACAGAAUUAUAAAUGAAAAGGGAGAUUUAUUUUAUUCUUUUUAAUGGAGAAAGCUAUAAAAGGAAAGAAGCACACAUAGAAGAAGAAAUGGAAAGAUAGUGAAGCUGACACUAACUGCUAUCACAUGUGAACAGGAGCAGCAGGAAACACAGAAGACACUUAAUGUCAACUGCUGUGGAAAAAGAAAACUACAGCCACUCUUGAAGAGGAGGACAUACAGCUAUACUUGGCAACUGCUGUGAGAAUUGCUAAUAUGUGUAGCUGGCUGAGACGAGAAUGAACCAUCUUGUUGGCACCUUUUCUGUCAGGAAGGCAAUAGAAGCCAAUAUAAAAUGGAUUAAGAGGGCUUAAAUUACAAAAAAAAAAAAAAAAAAAAAAGAAAAAGAAAAAAAAAGAAAGAAAGAAUUGGCCAACAACCCAGUACAAGCUCUUUUAAAAAUAGAGAAACAAUGAUUCAGAGACACAUUAAUUGAAAUUUCCCAUUUAAAGACAGGAGUCUUACUGGAAGAAGAGUAAAGGACUAAGACUCUUGACUAUGUAGCCCAGAAGACAGUAAAACCGACACAGUGCUUUGUCAGACAAGAUACCUGGAUCUCUGCCGUCACCUCCUCUGCCUGGAGAAGGAGUUAGUUAUUUCCUUGCUAGAUGAAAAUAGCUCUAUCCAGAAGAUGUUCUUUCUGCACAUUGGCUGCUUAGGAAGGACAGACCACUCUCCUGAGAUUACCUUGUACUUUAUUUAUUAAUUAUACCUAUUGCUAAAGAAUUUGACCUGGAGUUUCAAGCAAAGGUGGGAAUGGGACUCACAAUGAAACAAGGUUCUUGGGAUAGAGGGAACAGCGCUAUGUGCAGAUAAAUUUUUACGUUGGUCUUGUAAGGUAAAGGUGCUGCAUUUGAUGAAAUACGCCUAUGAGUUCUUGGUAAAGAUCUCAGCUACCCUCAUUACAUUCAUAUAUCCUAAAGAUGCAUAUUAUCUACCUUCUUCCAAGCACUGAUAUUGAAAAAAAUUGUUCACUACCUCACCAAAGGAGCUUGUUGCAAAGAACUUGCAGUAAAUAGGGACAGGUGAAUAGUAUGUAAUUAUGUUCUUAAAGGAAUUUUUGCUUGAUAUUACCUUCCAGAUUCCCCCUCCUCAAAUAUCAGUUAUGGUUGUAUUUUUGGAGGAUGAUGCUUAUUUCAUUUGAUUAGAAUUGGAAUAAGUAAAUUGAUAUUACAUCGUCGCAGUUCUCUUCCCCCCCACUCCCCUCUACUCCUUUUAAUUUGAAUGCCUUAUAAAGUAUUACAUGUUAUAGUUCAUUAGGUUCUCAUUGAUUGGACAUUUACUAGCUUCCUAAGCCUGUUUCAUUGUUCUGCUGCUGUGCUUUCACCAUUUGGUAUUCGGCACUCUGCAUAAUGAAUAAAUUACAGUUGAGCAAACGGACAUCACCAUAUGGGGGUAAUUUGUACUUUGACAGAAGGACAGAGCUCCUGGACUGGUCCUAAAGGGAAGCUCUACAGUUUUCAAAAAUCCCCCUAUUUUUUUUAAAUUAUUUACUUUCAAAAGGCCCUUCCCGUCCCCAGUGUAUGCAGAUAGGAACUUUGAAAAGCAGUAAACUGGGGACCAGGCAUACAAGUUCUAAUUUUAAUUGCAGGGUUUCUUAGAUGCAGAUGAGAUGGUACAUACACUGAUUAACACCUUCAUGACUAAGGGUACUUGUGUGCAUUCUGGCAUCCUGGAAUAAUAUGACUAUGUGGAACAUUUUAAAAUUUAGUAACUUCGUGUUCCCUGCAUACUGUCAGAGAAUAUGGGAAAUGAAUUUUGGAAGCAAUCUAAAUUUAUCAUUGGUACUGGCAAGUAGCUGUUAUCUGGUCAUGCAGUCAUACAUUUUUUUUUACAUGAGAGAAAGUAAUAGAAUAAUUCUAAAAACUAAAAUAAUUGAUUUAUACUGGUAUCAACGUAGACACAAUAUGCAUUCCACAGCAGACAGUUAUAAUGCCACUCCAUUUUUACAGGAAAAAACUUACCUUAACAAAAGUAGAAGGAAGACUGUGGUCAAGAGCAAAAUUCAUACCCCAGCCCUAGAGAAGAUCACACAUAGUGUGUAUAAAUGAACAUCUUCCUUUCAUUUGUCACUUGCACACUUUGUCAGGACCCUUGAAGCUGCCUAUUCACUCCCCAUUAGACUUGUUCAAGAUCCAAAACAGUUCCUGCAGAAAGAGAAUUUAGCAGUAUUUUAAAUGAAGCUUUUCUCCUAACAAUUUCUAAACUUGUUUGAGAUGCUUUUUCUUACCCAACGUGUCUUUAUUUCAUGUAGUUCUGACACUCUCAUACUGAGGUUAAAAAUAGUGAGCUAAAAUAUCCAAGCUGCUAUAUAUUGACAAAGUUUUCACACCAGCUACUUCAUGACAUCAGAGAGAUAUAUUUCAGAGGAAAAUUUCCUUUACCUAUAGGAUUAUCUCAGCUUUUCAUCUACUGAAUUCAGCGUGCCAAAAAUAGCUUUCUGUUUUCCUCUGUAAUUUUUUUCCAUGUUAGAAGUGGGUCCCAAUUUCCCGCUCACUUUGUGGUAUUCCAGGAAGUCUCACGUGCAGCCACACUCCCCUAUGAGAUGAGAAACCAUAUACUUUCUUGAAACAGAAUUGGUAAAACUCAGACUCCAGUCUUUGCUUUAGGAAUACAUCUUACCUAAUUUUGAUCGAUGAGUCUCAACGCAGUUACUUAAAAGGAGAAAACACCUCUGUAGAGUGAAGUCAUACAUUCAUCCUUUAAGUUCCUUACAGCUCAUUCAGAUCAGCUGUCCCACCCAAAGUGAAAAAUUUGUGCAAGUAAUUUAUUUCAUUUUUCCCUCUCCACCACCCAGACCACCUGCAGCACAAUAUUGGCACAGUAGAUCUGUGCAAGCAAUUGCUUUAGUUCUUAUUAUAAGCAAGAAGAAAUUCUCAGAAAUUAAGAAUUGAAGUGUUUAAUUGCCAUCUUUUAAACAUGGGAUAAUCCAGAUUGACCCCAAGUGUUAAUACCACUGGAGCACGAUCAGAGAGAGCAAAGCAAGCAACCCAUAUUCAUAUCCAUAAGCUCUGGGUGUAAUCCACAGCAUAGUGAAACAGAAUCUAUUCAAGACUGACAUAAAUGGCAGCAGGGAAAAAAAAGAAUACAUAUUUCCAGCCAGACUGGCCACUCUCCAGGCAUUUAGUAGCUGGUGUUCUGUGGCUAAUACCUUAUUUAGUAUCCUUUGCUUAUUCAGAAACAUUGGUGAUUACUUCUGUUUCAUGAUUCUGACUGAAUUUUCUUCCCAGGUUUAAAAAGCUUUAAAAAACACAGUAAAUGGGAGGAGAAGUACAGAAGACAGCCUGGGAAACAUGAAGUCCUAUAGGAGUGCUCUGGUUCCAAAUUCAUUGUCAGUGUAUUUUCUAAGUCAUUCUUCCAGAGACCUCUCAUUUGGUGGCUAAUGCAAUUAAGAGCCAGCUCUGUGAUUUAACAGCCUCACUUAAUGCUAUGGAUAUCAAAGUAACAGGCUGUAAUGGAUCUGUAAAACUGUACAGAGACCAUUGUCAACUCUGUGAGGUUGUUCAUGAGCCUCCUGGUCAGAAACAAAGAGUAAGUUACCAGCAGUAUGAAGAACACAACUAGAGUACCCUUGGAAAUUGUUAACAGUUUUAUCUGCAUUCAGAGCAGAUUUUCUCUCUUUAAAUUCCAAAGCAAACCUCACUGAAAAUAAUUGAACUUUUGUUUUCCUUUUUAUUUAUUUAUUUAUUUAGUAAAUGCUAUCGUCUUUUCUGUUAAGGAUGAAGGGAAAUUGAAAACUUUAAUGAUUUCUUUAAAAUAUCUUUUAAGGGAAAAAAGCUCUGAUAUAAGUUUACUGAUACAAUUUCUGUAGCUUUUCAGAUAUCUAUAUUUCAUAAUGUGAAACGUUCUUUUACAUUCCUUGCAUGUCUCUGUGGAGUUCAAAUCUCAUGUAAUCCUCAUUUACUGGGAGUAAGAGAGGUGUAACCCGCUCAACUCUUGACUUUUGCACACAUAAAGCAGAGUUUAUAUACAAAAGUGCAAGCCUUGAUAGUUAUAAUGAGGUGGUAAAAUGUGAAGAUGCACUGUUGUAUCAUUUCUGGGUACCUCAUAGAGGGUACAAGUACAAAACUGCCAGAGGAAUAAGCAGGGCCAAUAUCAUUUAUAAAAGAUAAAAUCAGAGUGUGAAUUGCAAAGGCGUUGUGAAUAAAUUAAAAGAUGAAGUAUGAGAACUGAAUUUGGGAGACUGGUCGCCCACAAUGAACAGGUCUCCCCCAUACAGCCUUAUCUCAUACUUGAAGACUCUGAUGCAGCUGUCUGCAUUAAUAUAUUCUUCACUAGAAGGAUAUAAAUUUAAAAUUAAAGCAAUAUCCCUGCUCUCUAAUACUCAGAAAUAAUAAUAAUAAGAAAAACUAAAUAUCGUCUGAUUCUUUCAAUUGCUUGCUGCUGGAGUAGUAGUAUCUUGAAGUAUUGGUUAGAAAGAUGUUGAUGGAUUUUUUUAAGAAAUGUUUGUCCACAAAGCAAAUAUCUAAUUUUUUGGGGAGUGGUCUCAGAAUCUCUCAAUUCAUGUGUUCAUUCAUAUUAAUAUUUGACUUUAUUUAUAUGAUCUUGCAUAUAUUGAUUAUUAAUCAGUCACAGCUCUCUCCACUCACUGUGAACAUUAUAAAUGAAAACAACAUAAGACACUGCUUACUUAAAAUGAUCGCACUCCUACACCACAACUGUCUUUAAAUUCUAAUUUAAUUUUAAAUCAAACAUGCAAAUAAUAUUAAGCUUUUCAUUGUCUCUGCAAUUUGUUCAUAUCACUCCUUCCUGCCCCAAAUUUUUCUAUGUAAUAAACCUAAACUUUAACAUUUUUGCAGACCAGAGUGGAAAUUCUUAAGUUACUGUGAUGGGACACUCUUCCAGACAUGUUUUUCUGCACAGAAGAGCAGUGCCUACUGAUAUAAAAUUCUCUGUGACACCAUUUUUUUAAGAUACUUGCAGUUUGUGUCUGGGCAGGUGGAAUUGAAGACAUUACUGAUGCAACUAGUGGCAUUUUAUAUUAGAAGCUAGUUUAAUCCUCAAACUUCAAAUCUAAAAUUUUCCAAAAUGUGGGAAUGUGAUGGUUGGGAGCUAGUUUUUACAUUUAUGGGCAACCGGUAUGAUCUUACCUGAAUGAAACUCCAUGAUAUACCUUCAAUAAGAACGUAAAGCCUCCAUUAUCAAAUCAUGUGUUACAAUGAUACAGAAUGCAUUUGGCUAUAUAUAGACCUAUAUAGCUGUGUUUAAAUUAGAAGACAUCUCAGACAUCGUGGUGAAUCUAGCAUCUGCUUGAUCCAAGCAACUUUGUUUGUCAUAAGGCAAGAUUUAUAUCAUUCUAAUUCAGGUACCAACUCUAUCAUUUGAAGAGAUCAUGCUUCAGUAAGAGGAAGACUAUUGGUGUCUUACUGCAACACAGAGAAUUCUGGGCAAGCAAGCAAUUAAUUUUUUAAUGCAAUUUCUUAUUUCAUUGAAAUGAAAUAUACAAUCUGAUUUUCAAAUUAAGAGUAAACUAUUAAUUAUCACAGAAGUAUGAAUAUACAAAUAUAGCUCUUAGAUAUGCUGUGGUUUUCACAGAGAAUUAGUGAUUUUGGACUCACUUGGUACAGCAAACUCAGAUCAGACUAGACAAUAAAAAACAUGGCCUUCUGAAGUGGCCCAUCUCUCUCUUAUAGAUUAUUCAGCCUUCUAUCAAAGAUUGUUAUCAAUUCACACAGUCUUUCAAAGGCAGAAUGGGUGACUUUGACUUUGUCAAAGACUGGAUUGUAUUAACUGAAGCCCUCGCAAGUGCCUCUUCUGUAGCAAACUCUACAUUUUGGGGUCAGAGGUGAGCUCUUAUUUGAGUAGGAGGAAAAUUGUUAAUGAAAUUUUGCUCAGUGAGCUGUGUCAUCCUUUAUUCUUGCUGUGCUCCAGGCAGGUCCACACUGUCAAAUAUCAGAAGAGGCUGGAAAUGAGUGACACAUGUCUUCAAGACCAGAAAUGACAGUGACCUUCCAGCUCCUUUUGCGAAGUAGCAGGGGUGUUGUACACAGCUAUUAAGACCAGAAAUGAACUCUGACAUUUUAAGACUGUUCUGUUUGGAUUUUCACUGCUUCUUAUGGCAGGGGUUCAAACUCUAUUCUUAGUUUUCCCAGCACGAACUCACAGCAGUCCCUUCCAGGACACAAACCCAGAUUUACGUUGGUCUUGGUGAGGGCAGAAUUUGCCUGGUCAGUUUCAUCAUUUGGAUUGCUAUAUGUGCUGAAUACUCGAAUGGAAGCAAUGCUUUCAUAUCCUGAGUAGGGGAGAGGGAGUUGCCAUUCUGUCACCAUAUUAGAAACCAGAGACUCUCAGUUUAUAGUCCUGCUUUUUUUCUCCUCACUCACAAUUUUGUCUUUUUUUUUUUUUUUCUGUGACAGUUUAAUUUUUCAGUACUGCAUGCAAUUUUGCAUAUGAUUCAUAUGGAAAUGAAGACAUAUUUAAUGGAGACUCCAGACACUGCCAAUGAGUAAGGAUAGGAAGAAGUGUAUAUCCCUACUUAUUUACAUUGAAAGAGAGAUAGAAGUGGUUGGAUCUUCCCUAUCUUUAGGGAAUUGUUUAUGAAGCACCUGCGGAAGUUGACCCAACAGGGGUCAGACAGCUAUAACAGUCCAGGAGUAAUUUUUUUUAUAACAUAAAACAAGACUGAAAUGAAAUGUUUCUGAUUUACUAGCCUUGCAUGAGCUAUUGUUGGUUUGCAUAGCAGUCACAACCAACUUACAUUUUUCAGUUCCACUUAGAAAAGAGGUAGCCUUUUCUACAUGAACAUCACUGCAGUUACUAUUGUCCUGAUUACAUAAAAAAGAGACUACUGCAGAAAGAUGUGUAUGAAGCUGUAUCUACGGAGAUCCUAGAAUUUGAAAACUAGCGGAAUAUGUAGCAACCCAUCUGGGAAGAUAAAAAUGGAGCUAUGAGACAGUGAGGGUAUAAUGACAAUUUGUCUCCUUAUGGUUCCUCUGGCAGUAGCUCUGGUAUCAACUUACUAACCACUGAACAUUUCUGUACUCUCCUUUUCCCUCUGGAGGGAUCCCUUGGAGGACAAUGGAGAGGUGGGCAAUACUGGAAGCUCCAGACCUGGCACCAAUGCCUAUAUCUUGAACAAACUACUCUGGCACACCUUUUCCAGCAUGGCUGAAACCUAUUGAAGUAUUCAACACAACCCUUUAGGGAAGGAAAGCAACUCCUGUCCUAAGGUAUGAAAUGUUUGAGAAGAUCCUAGGCUGAGAAUCAUAGAAUCAGAAUUGUUCAGGGUGGAAAAGACCGUAAAGAUCAUCAAGUCCAACCACAACCUAAUCAUACUACCCUAACUCUAACAUCCCUCUGCUAAAUCAUGUCCCUGAGCACCACAACCAAAUGGUUUUUAAAUACAUCCAGGGAUGGUGACUCAACCACCUUCCUGGGGAGCCUAUUCCAGUGCUUAACAACCCUUUCUGUAAAGAGGUUUUUCCUGAUAUCCAAACUAAACUUCCCCUGGCACAACCUAAGGCCAUUCAUUUCCCCUCGUCCUGUCACCUGUCACCAGUGAGAAGAGACCAACUCCACUCUCACUGUAAGCACCUUUCAGAUAUUGGAGGAGAGCAAUAAGGUCUCCCCUCAGCCUCCUUUUCCCCAAACUAAACAGACCCAGUUCCUUCAGUCUCUUCUCGUAGGGCAUAUUCCCCAAGCCCUUCACAAGCCUUGUUGCCCUUCUUUGGACCUGCUCCAGCACCUCAGUGUCCUUUCUGUACUGAGGUGUCCAAAACUGAACACAGUACUCGAGGUGAGGCCUCACCAGUGCUGAGUACAGAGGCAGGAUUACUUCCUUAGUCCUGCACACUACAUCACUCCUGAUACAAGCCAGGAUGCCAUUGGCCUUCUUGGUCACCUGGGCACACUGCUGGCUCAUAUUCAGCUGACUGUCCAUCAAUACACCAAGGUCCCUUUCCAUCAGGCAGCUUUCCAGUCACUCCUCCCCAAGCCGGUAGGAUUGCCCGGGGUUGCUGCGACCAAAAUGCGGAACCAGACACUUGGCCUUAUUGAAACUCAUACAGUCUACCUUAGCCCAUCGAUCCAGUCUAUCCAGGUCCCUCUGUAGUGCUCUUUUCCCCUCAGGCAGAUCAACACUCCCUCCCAGCUUGGUGUCAUCUGCAAAUUUACGGAGGGUGCACUCAAUCUCCUCAUCAGGAUCAUUAAUAAAGACAUUAAAUAGAAGCAGCCCCAGUACCAAGACCUGGGGGAUGCUGCUUGUGACUGGCCGCCAACUGGAUUUAACUCCAUUGACCACAACUCUCUGGGCCUGGCCACCCAGCAUUUCACACAGCGGAGAAUACACCCAUCCAAACCAUGGGCAGCCAGCUUCUCCACAAGAAUGUUGUGGGGGACAGUGUCAAAGGCUUUACUGAAGUCCAUGUAGACCACAUUGACAGCCUUACCUUCAUCCACCAAGUGGGUCACCUUGUCAUAGAAUGAAAUCAGAUUUGUCAAACAGGAUCUACUGUUCAUAAACCCAUGCUGACUGGGCCUGAUCCCUUGAUUGACCUUUAAUUGGUCCAUGAUGGUUCCUGAGAUUAUUCCUUCCAUAAUCUUCUCCAGCACUGAGUUGAGACUAAUAAGUCUGUAGCUACCAGGAUCAUCAUUCUGGCCCUUUUUGAAGAUGGAUGUCACAUUAUGGAGAAGCCUCUAUAAAGACUGCAGCUGUUCAUGACUGUCCUCUGAUCAGAAAAAAAAAAAAAAAAAAGAGCAGGAGGCAACUGCCUUAGGAAAGAAUGGUGGAGGAACAUUUCCUCAACUUAAAAGAUGGUACUCUGCUAGAAAGUACCAAUCAAUGUGCGACUGUACCCUGUGUUUAUCUCUUGGGUAGCUUGGUUCUGCAGUAAAUGUAUGUAAAGUGCCCCAAACUGUGGAACCCUCACAUAGACAAAGUGUAGAAGGAACUUAAUACCAAUAUUAAUAAAGCCUCAGUGAACACAGCAGCCCGUGACUUACUGCAGAGUGCAGAAUUCUGCUACACAGCAAAAUUUCUCUGCUGAGGAAAAAAAACCAGAAAGCUCCAGUACUUCUACCGUCAGAGACUGAUCUUUGGCAUAGUAUUUUCUAAAGAAAUGCUUGAGGUUGGAACUUUCUUUUCCCUGUUAUUUGCCAGAAACCAGACGUGUCAGUUUUCCAGUGUUUUAAAUCAGGGAUGUAUGAAAUUAAAUGGGACUCUGGUGACCUAGGGGACCACAAGGCAAUGCAGAGCAGUUUGGCAUCUGGAAGGGCAUUAUUUUGAGAUCAGUAAAGUAGUGUGUGGGAUGUCCACUUGAUCUUCUGGUUGAACUUGGGUUACAGUGCACUUUAGUUGUUUUAGAAACACAAGAUGCAGAAUGGCAUUUGUUUUUUUGAAGUUUGCUGUUAGAAAAAUAAAACUCUAAUGAGUAAAAUACAGCAGUGUUUUCUCAUUUCUAUUUGACCUAUUAAGUGCCAGAUCUACCAUAUAAUACAUUAUUUGAUAUAAACAGUUAUUCAGUUACCUACCCAAGUAACGUAUAUGUAUAGACAGUGCCUGAGAAGUUGAUGUCUGUCUUUUUAAACAGGUUUAAAUGGCCCUGGAGCAUUCUCCAUCUUCUUCUGGAAAGCAAACCUUUUCCUGGUUUUAUGUCUCACAGCCACAAGAUGAGGUCCAAAAGGAAAAAUGAUAGGAGUACGAUGCUUGAGAUUCACAUUGAGAAUCAGCACUGAUUGCUACAACUAUGUACUAAACAAAGUUUAUGUUGUUUUUUUUUUUUUUGUCUGUUUGCAUCAAUUAACAUUUGUAUAUGUGAUAAUACAAGUGAUCCCAAUAUGUAACUAAACUUUCAUUGUGAGAUCUGGGAUAUUUUUCAGUUUUUAGUAAGAAUAUAUUUACUUUGUGGCAUUUAUUGUUUAGAGACACUGAUCUACUGAUAUUUCAAAAGUAAUAAAUAAAUAAAUAAAUAUUUACAUUAGGAUGAUAACUAAAAUAAAGAUUUAAUGCAGAAAAUUGAUCAAUAAAUAAAUAAAUAAAUAAAUAAAUAAAUAGAUAAAUUCAGCAGCAAAAUUACUUAAAACAUCCUGAAAAUAGAAAAUGAAGAGUUCUACUUCCAAAAUAUCUCUUGGAAAAUACUUUUUCUUUAAUAAUCUGAUAGUGAACUGCAAAUUCUGAAUUUAAAAUUUAAUUUUCAUUCAAGUAGCAUAUUUUUAUAUGAAGAACUUAUGUUCUGUUGAUUUCUUCUUUUGUAUUUGGCAAUAUUGAAAACAGAUGCUCUGUUAAGCAUAACCAAGGGAAAGUUGUAACAUAAAUAAUAUACUAACCUAAUUAAAGUGUAUCUUUUAAAAUCUUGAUAAACUUAGUGGAGUCUGACUGUGAAAAAGAUCCAAAAUCCUUCAUGGAAAGGAAGGUUGACAAGAUUCACCAAAUGAUCAUUUUCUAAUGUAUCAAACAUAUCUGAUUGGGGUGCACUAAAUAGCUGGAACCAAAUUAAGCAUGUGUUAAAUUUAAUUUCAGUGAAAGGGGCUGAAACUAACUUUUUUUUUUUUUUUUUUUAAACAGGCUUCAUCAUUCUUUCAUACACUGAAUACUUGCUGCAGUAUUUAUAAUUUGGUGUGUUCCUUAACCAUGAUUUGGUAUUUCAGAGAGUUCGCUUGCUCUGGUAGAACUUGAAAACAAAAGAGAAAGAACUCAGUUCUUACAUAUUUUCACUGGUAUACCAUUUUUUGCUGUGUACCACAUAUUUUCACUUCUCAAAGCCACCAUGCAAGAUGAUAGCUGCUGUCCUUGAAGAAAUCAGUGUUUGUUGCUUUAAUUUUGCUGUUAAACUGGCACUUUGUCAUUUCAGCUCAUCAUGUUAUGCAUGUAAUAAUGUGACAUGCUUAACUGCUAGCUUCAAGCUGAACACUUAAUAUUAGAUACACCUACAGUACUUUUAUUUCAGAAAGCUGCAUUUAGUCCUCAGAGCAUCUUUCUUCUCUGGAAAGACAAAGGCCAGGACCUGCAUUUUUUGACAUGGACAGUUUUGUUUUUACAUGUUCUGAGUAUAUAAAAACAUGAAUGACAGGAGGCAAUCCCACUCUAAGUGUCCUAUCAAAAGUAAAAGGUCACUGUGGAUUUUCAUAUGUAUGUGAGUAUGUGUGUUAGUGUGUGCUUUCAUUUGUGUUUCUAUGCUAAAUGUUGUCAAGUAUGUUACAGAGGUCAUUUGUGAUUCAUAGAAGCACUGCUCAGGGAUUUACAGAGUCCUCAAAUUCCAGUCUGUGGAUAUGCCAAGGAAUCUACCAGUUUUUUGAAUGCCUUACUCAAUAAUCUGUUUUUAAUACUUUCUUUCCUUGCAAUACGUUUUCACUAAAUUUCAAACAUGUUCAGUAAUUUGCUGAUCAGGAGAUAUUUUAAUCACUCUGAAAAAUAAUGUGUCCAUUAAAUUAAUUUUUGUUACAAGGUAAUAAUGGAAAAACAAAUGUUCUCCCCCAGAGCUGGUUGUGGUGAAGGCACACCUACUUACAGAAUUCUCAGCUCACUGCAGCAGCAGCUGCAGUGAAUCAUUGAGAAAUCAUUGCAGAAGUUCCAGCACCAGAACAUAGCAAAGGGCAUCUAUAGGCACAGGUGUGCACAGCUUCACAUUGACUGAAAAUUUAGGGCUCUCUAUAUCAAAAGCUGAAUCUGUCUAGGUUUGUGUUUGCAACUUGGAUAAGUAUCUGCAGCUGGCUAUAUUGGAAGAACAUAAUGGAAAAAAAAAAAAAGAAUUAAGGCAUCAGAACAUUAUAAAAACUCUGUAAUAGGAAACCAGAGUUGUUGUACAAGUGUAUAGUUGUGUUCUUACAGUCACCACUGUUGUCUCUUUGAUCCUGCAACAACAAUCACAGUCCAUGAAAGACAUCCAUACUCUGUUUGCACACAUAUUACCAGGCAUGUACAGUUUCAUGAACUGAGUGUGAUAUCUUCUUCAUUCUUCUUCACCCAGCUAUGUCUCUACAUCUUGUACCUGCAGCAGUCUCACCUCAUGUCCUCUUUUCUGUGAGCAUUUUACAGAUGAAGUUCACCAUGUCUGCUCCCUCAUCAAACAAACCUCCGUUAUCUACAAUGUCUUUUUUCAUUCAGAACAUUACUAAUUGAGAGAUCUGAUAACAAGAUUCUAGCUGUUAAGGAUCUCCCAAGCUAAUAAAGGGUGACAAUGAAAGAGAAAAAACACAGAUUUGCACAUUGACUCUGGCCCACAACCCAGCUGAACCUGUCUUUCUUUUGAUGGUUAGAAGAAACAAGAAUGGCUUAGGAGUUUAUGGCUCUUUUAGCCCUCCCUGAUGAUCUUUUGAGGGAAAGGAUAAGGAGUAAUUACAGAGAGGUUACUUUAGAAUCAUGAAGGGAGUCUCUCUGUACUUGUAAACUGUUUGAAUUGCAUUUCUGUCAGUCAUUUACAAUUGACCAUAUCUAGCUGAGGUUCCAAGCACAGAUUUAUAUACUUACCUGGGCAAAUGUAUUUCAGUCACUUUAAAAGUAGUUGUGGAUUAUAAUCCCCUUAUGCCCAUUUCUUAAAUCAAAUGUAAUGCUUUCGAAAUAGAUUCAACACUUUUGAGUUAUUCCCACCCCCCACAAUCAUGUUUGAUUUUGUUAAUCAAGGUUGAACAGUAGGCUAAUACUGGAAGCUCUUUUAAGUAAAAUAGUUUCUGUAUUAAUGAGAUCCAGUCCAGUUCAAAUUAAAAAAAGAAUUUUUUUUUUUUUUUUUUGAGGGAAAUGUCCUUUCUCCUGUUAAUAAAAUGAAUGGGAGCAGUGAGAUUUUUUAAGAGGGUUUUUUUUUUUUUUUUUUUUUUUCCCCCAGCCUAAUUGACUUGGAUUUUGCUCAUGUAUGGUAGGUUAUGUUUUCUCAUUGUAGAAGCUUUUUCCUGCUAAAAUCAUUCCUUUCACUAAUGAGAUCCAUCCUGAUAUGACAGGAAGACAGCUCUUAAAACACCCACCGUUUUCUCCCAUUCAUUUGAAUAGCAGCAAAGGGACAUCUUUUAAAGUAAUUUUUAUCAGUGAGAUUGAGCUGAAUCUCAUUAAUAAAGAAAUGAUUUUACUCAAAAGAGCCUUCACAGUUGAGCUAUAACUCAGAUUAGUGAGAUCUAGCCUGAUUAUAACUUUAUAAGACAUUGUACUUCUGCCAUUCAAAGCAUGCAUCAGCUAUGUAGGGACCAUUGAUUCCUGCAAAGGCUGUUUCAGAAGGGUGGGUGAGAAAGGUGUCUGGAGGUGUCUUUCUCAUUUUUUCAUGAACAUGGAAAGUGAAUUCUUCCUUCUGUAUAUUAAGACUGGUUUUCACUAUAUGUAUUUUUAUUUUGAAGAGCAUAAGGGUGACUGAAAUGAAGAUGUAAGGUGAAGAAAGAGCUCAAUACCAUGCCAGUGGAGGAUUGUCCAGGUACCAGGACACCACUAUUUCAUGGUAAAUUCUUUAUGCUGACAUUUAAUUCACAAUAAAUUUGGUUAAUGCACAGAACACUGAAUAUGCAUGAGAACAGCAAGCCUAAGAAGUUAAACAAUCACAACAGAACUUCACAGCAUAGCAAAGUGUUGCAUACAACACCAAAAAGGCAUAUAAAAAAGAAAUGAUGUUAUAUAAGCAGCUUUUCCACUCUAUGAAUCCCUGAAUGAGGCUUCUUAUUAGUUGUUUUCCUAGAAGCAGCUAUGUCCAACCUGAACCACGAGCAGCUACAUCAAGUUGGACUAAGUUAAGAAUACCCUACUAAAUACUACCCAUACUAAAACAUAGAACAUCUUUAUGGAGGGAACCAAGAUUGUCUUGAAUGAUAUUUUGAGAAUAUCAAAUUAAUAGGCACACCACCUUGAGAAACAGCUGCUAGUUGAAACCUCAUGUCAAUAAGGAUGUCUGAAAGACCAACUGGCCACACCUGGGAAGGUGUAACCAGAGGUUAUAACAUGGGCAGAUCACAAAAGGGAAAAAAUGCAUUGGUCAGAGUGAGUUUGAGGUAUUAGGUGGUGAUAGAGUUUACAGUAGUAAGAGAUAUGGGGAAAGUGAAGGAAGAUUUUCUAAUUCAGAAGGAUUGCAUGUGAAUGAUGACAGGCAAUGGAAGCUCUAGUGCUGGGCAGCAAAUCAGCUCUAGGGUUGAGGUUAGUCACUGAAAGGCUUGCUACUUGCAUAGCAGUACUUCUACAGACAUGUUUUUGCUCCAGAAACUGUUGUAUUGCAUACCCUAUGGAAAAAGUGUAGUCUUUGCAGGGGUUUUCAUAAUAUUCUAUUCCCUACAGGAGAGCAAAAUUCUAUUUGUUUUGCUAUAUUUAGCAUGGUGAGUGUCAUCCCCCCCAACUUUCAGUCUCCCAACCUUCACUAUGACUGAAAGAUUAAACUUGAGAGUCUUUUAUGAGCUCAUAAACAAAUUAAAAAUGACAAUGAGGUCUAGAUUGCUCAGGUUAUUUGUGUUAUGAGCUGUCAUUUCUUAGGUGAAGAUCUCUGUUUUGUGUAGAGUUAGUACCCCAGAGAAAUAAGCCAGACCUUCCUACACUCAGCUGCACAUACCUUUGUUUUCUGCAGAAGGAACCAAGAGUAGCUGAGAAGGGCUCUGAUAGUUCAGAGACAGAGAGUGUUUGACAUAAUUUUGCAUAGAACCUUCUUGCUUUACCACCUCCUCCCUUAAGUGCACACUACAUUCAUUCACACAUUAAAAAUUGAAGUGUAAUAUUCUGCUGCCUGGUCUUCUUAGACAUUGUCUUUGUUCAGUUCUUAGUCACUGCUGGAAUGUGCCAAGCAAUGAAAUGUCAGUCUUUGAAAUAUAGUUCUUAGGAGAAUUAUUUCUCUUAAGCAAGUUUAACUUUAGCUUAUAAUAAUAUUUAAUUAUGUCCUAUUUAGUAUUGUUCCCAUUUUGCUUCUAUCAGCAUUCAUUAUGAAUGCCACGUUGCAUCUCAACCCCUCUGCCUCUGAAAUUAAUGUCAAUGCCAAUAUGUGGGUAUUACUAAAUACAGAGAAUGCAUAAGAAUCAAUUCAGCCAGCACUCCUCCACUUUCUCCGAAUUCAUUGUGUCACCUCCGCCUCCAGUGGCCUGUCUUGAAGAGCCCCUAGGUAAUUCUUGAAUGCAUGGCACUGCUGCCCCCAGGCUCCCUGCAAUGCAGUUGUGCAAAGUACCCAUUCUUCUGUGUGUGUGUGUGAGAAUAUUUGUAAGCCAAGCAAGAGGAAAACGCCUGAUAUUUUCAUGAGCAUAUGAACAUUUGAUCCAGAGGGAAGGUUCGCAUUUUCCACCUCUGCUUUUUAAAGUGGAAAUUUUCACCUCUGGGCUAAAUAGUUAUUCUGUUGUGAGCCUGCUUCAGGCAGUAAUUAGGGGUGGAGGAGCCUUAAAGGCCAGGUUUGGCUGACUAUUGUAAAGGACUGGACAUUAAGCUGAAAUCUGAAUUGUUUUCUGCGUAGAAUCUUAACACAGAACAGCAUUGUGACCCUUUGUGCUGCCCAAGCCCAUAAAUCCCACAAGGUAUUUUCAUUCUCACCUAUGUACUUCUCAGCCUGCUAAUGUCGCAGUGGGUGAAAAAGAUCUAUCAUAUUGACAGAAAAUAAAUGUAGGAAAUGUUAAAAAGGGGUUUAAUGCCUUCUCAGCUAUAUUCUCACAGUUUUAUAUAUUUUUUUAAAUGUAAAUAAUUCCAGAUAUACAUGGGGAUGCUGAAAAGAUAGUAAGAUUAGGCUAGCUGACAACAGUCUCAAAGAGGAAGAUUUUGCAAAGAUUUCUUUCCUACCUAAAAAUCCAGCAUCUUUGUCCCUACUUCUGAGGUCUGUGUGCAGUGACUGGUGUCUGACAGCCAGUGCCAGUUGUCUCUGAUGAGUUCACAGGUCCAUCAUUUCAAGGAAGGGUAAAAGGUAGAAGAGAAAAGGCAUUAUACACUUUCCAAUGCUUUAGGUAUCUCUUAAGAAAAAUGAAAAUAUUCCUACAGAACUGUUGUGUCAUUUUCUAAGUUGUUGGACCCCAUUCCUGAGUGAGGGCUUUCUGCAUACAUUUGUGAACUGAGACUUUCUUCAUAAAGAAAGAUGAAGAUACACUAAUUAGUUGUUAGCUCAGUCUGUUUUUUACCAGUUUCUCUCAGUCCAUGAAUAAGAAGUGAAUGAGCAGAUUAAUUCCUUUUGCUUUCCCAUUUGGAAAGUCAAUUUUGUUUGUAGUUUGUUAACAAAUGGAAUUUUAAUUUAUUUGACAGAAAUCAAAUAUCCUGGUCUUUAUCAUCUUGAUUUAAAAAAAAAUUAUUAAGAAUUGCAGUGUUUGUGACAAUAAACCUUCAUUUAAGUCCUAAUGGAAAUUUUUAUAUAUAUGUAUAUACAUAUAUAGAAAGAUAGAUAGAUAGAUAGAUAUACUUAACUAAUGGUUCUAAUUGAUUUAAGUGGUAGCCAUUUUUAAGUGGCCUGCUAUUGGAAUGGAUGUUAGAUAAUAAAAAGUUGGACACUAAAUCUUUAGGAGACUUUCAUGUACAAAUCUACACUUCAACUGUGAAAUUGUUCUAAUUCUUGAGUUAUCAUAUCAGAAGUUUUAAAUCUGCAAAAGAUAAAGAAUAAAGAAUAUGUCCCAAGUUGCAUGUUCUCUUCACCUUCUCCUGUAUUCCACCCCCUCCACAAGAAUCAAAGGCCUCUCUCCAGUACCUUGUUUACAAAUGCAGAUGCCAUGGCAACUUGCAGUAUAUUUGUUCUAACAUUUGAACGUAUGUUGAACUUUUAAAUAUAGCUCACAAGACAUUUAGCCAAAUUAAUUGCUCUACAAAGUAGUUUUGGAAUUAUAAAGAAGAGAACAGAUCGAACUUCUGAUUAGAGGAUGUUUAUGGGCAAGCUGCUAUAUGGAACAAUUCUGACACAGAAGCUCCAAGACAGUUGCCGCAUAGUAUGAGUAUAGUUCUAUGAACCAUAGAAACAAUACCAAUUAUAGUCAUCACAUUGUUGAAAUGUGUACUCAAACUUUUAUGCACAUGAGAUAGUCGAACCUAUAAUAUUUUCUAACUACAUACCCAAUUAUUAUUCAACAUAAAACUACUAUUCCUAUUCACAUUAUUCUGAAUAUAAUUCAUAUUUGUUGCAUUUGUUUAUAUGAAAACUGGCUUUAAGGAACAAGAACACUGUGCAAGCCAAAUCUGUUGCAAAUAAUUCCACUGGAUUUCAGUAAGCUCCUCUGACUGGUGUUAUUUGAAGUUCUAGGCUGAAGUGUUUUGCAGGCAUUUAUUAACUUUACUAAGACUUGUGAAAACGUGAGACUGUUCUGCAAUGUUCAUUGCAGUGAUGUUAGAGCAAAAAAGAAGUAGGGCUAUUAGAUGUAAUGUAAAGGAAUUUUUUUACAGGUCGCAGUGAAUACACAUGAUUCUCAUGUGCUUACACACAAGCUAUCAACACGAGGACUAGACAUCCUACAGUUUCCCUAAAAUUGUGUCUUGAGCAACUCAGCAUGGAAAGCAGGUGAAGUGACUGCACUACAGUGUAUUUUUAUUUGAUAGCUAUUUUUUUUUCUCUUGUGUGUAGCUUAUUCAGAAACAUGUUUCUGAAGAAAAUCUGUUUUAUCUGGAAUUUGUCUGAAUGAUACAAUUGUGAUGUUACCAGCAGCGAUGUCCAUGAUACCAACCCUAACCACUUAGCAAUCAUCAAGUAAGUGUAAUUGCACUAGUUGAUUUAUUUCAUCUACAGAUUAUGUAAUUGCUUAUUAAAAAAAUUGCUAGGAGCAAUCGUCUCCAUCCAUGCUAGUAACCAUGUAUUAUAAUCAUGCCAGUAGGUGAAAAUACAUAGAAUUUCCUUCCUCUUUAAGCUAGAAGACUCUCCACCUAUGUAAAACUUUCUUACUUAGGGGGGAAAACAAAUGACUUCUGAGCUACUUACAGUAAAAUCAACAUACUUGCAAUUCAUUUUCCACUGUACAUUGUGCCUAUGGAUAAAAACAUUCAAAACCAGCUGAAUUUCUCUAAGUGCCCAAUAAGCAUUUAAGUAUUAGACCUAAGGUUAUUUGUUAUUUUAUACUGUAUAAAGGUGGGAUAAAAAAUAAAAACUAGAAUGAAAUACCUAGAGACAUCAGGACCACUAGCUGUGCUGGAUAUAAUUUCCAUUUUCCUUUUCUAACCAUGAAUUCACAUGACUGAAAUGUUUCUUGUAUGUGAUAUAAUAAAGACUACAGUGAAACCUUGUUUCCUCUUAGACGGUAAUGUGUGAUAUCAUGGCAAUGACAAGCAUGAAUGAGAUGCCAACAUUUGGCACUCUUUGGUGAGUAGUGAAAACAUUAUCAGUGAGAGGUGUCCAGCAGCGUUAAAGAGUAGCCGAAUCAGGACAAGUUCAUGUAUGAGUCAACAUCAACUUGAUAGAAUUUCUGCUUUUGGCAGUUAAUGUUGACAAUUAGUACAGUGCCCUUAUUAUAUAUGCGAGGGACUUGAGUUCCUUGAGUGGACAAAGAGUACAAAAACCAAGGAAACAGCUGUUGGGCACAUAAAUGUCUUGUUGGAAGACAUGAAUAUAUUUGGAAAGAUAGGUUUGUGUUGCUGGCCUUAAUCCCUUCCCUUAAGUAUCUUCUUUCUGAUGGUCAGACAUAAUAGUGCAACUGAAUAAAGGGAAGCAUUUUUGACUGGAUAGUGUACAUCAGGUCCCAUAUACAUACUGACUGAAUUCACGUUACUUGUCACUUGAUACAGUUAUGAGAUCUGAAUGAUUUUCAGUCACUUCAGUGAAGGCUGUAUUUGAAACCUGGUCCCAAAGCCGCAAGGCAAGUGUAUUACAUACCUGUCAACUAACAAGACUUGCCAAAAUGAAUCUACUCAUAUGAACACAUGAUCAUUAUUGCUGUUCACACUGUGAAACACUACACACUGUGACAAAAGUAGAAAGCAAGAGGAUUAUUAUGCUAGACAGUCACUUAUUAAAUAUAUUUAUUGUGGAUAAAUGAAUAUUCCUUUACAACAAAAAAUGUAAGCUGUUGAUAAAUUUCUAGUAUUGAAAAAUGUGAUAUGGGCAAUUUAGUAAAACUUGACCUUAUUCUUUUGUAAAGAAUAAGCAAAUAUUUACAUUCCCUUGACUGAACAAAGAUUUUUUGUGCUGAAGACUACUAAAUAUUCCACACAACAAGCACAAGUAGGAGCAAAUGAAUUCAGCAAGCACUGGGACUACUCAGGCCAAAUUUCUUUACCUUUUCAUUGAAUAUUUAAUCAUUAAUUACAUCUGAGUUAUAAACUACUUACUAGUUAAAAAAAAUUGUCACAUCAGGGUAAUGUUUGUACACUGCAUGAAUGUUAUAUGUUUGCAUGAAAAGGAUGGAUUAGUGAAAUGGUGAACAAGACAUUCACUGAAAAAGAGCUCCUUGGGAUGGAAUUCUGAAAUGUACUUUCCUAUAUUCAGUUUACACAGAAGAGAGGAAAAUCUAAAGGUAUACAACAAAAAGAUUUAGAAGUUUGUUCUACUGUCAAGUCUAGAAAAUUGACACUCUUCCAGAUGUCUUCAAAAACAUGUGGACUAAGAGUUGUAUAGUAAGACUAAGGAGUUGUCAAAGAUUCCAGCUAGCCACAUGAGAAUUAAUGUAACAGAAACUGACCAGGUCCUUGAACAAUGUUAGUUAAUCAUAUUUCCAAUAAAUAAAUAAAUAAAUAAAAAUUAUGAGCAGAAAAAUGCAAAAUGCUUUAGAAUGCCUCAAAAAGAAUAUGAAAUGUAUUUGAAGAUCUAUACCGCAAAUUAACACUAUAGUUGAUAAAAUGCUAGUUUAUCUGCAAAGUGCUAAUCUACUUCAUACUAUUUCUUCUUACAGAUUUCAUUAAUUUGAAGAUAUAUUUGCUCCCUCAAAGAUGAAAAUGUUAAUAGAAAUGAGAGUUAAAGCUCACUGAGUUCAUUAGGCUCCCCAAUUCUCCUUUGUUUCUGAGUAACAUCUCUUAGAAGCAUUUCUUUUUCUACAAGAAGAAAGUAGAAAUAAAUCUAUUCAUUGCUAUUGAAAAACUGACUACAAAUAGCUGUGAGUAGUUUUGUUUGAGUUGUAUCUGGUAUGAAUGACAACUUCAAAAAGUAAUGUGUAAUGUUGAGCAUCCUCAUGGUUUCUAUGUUAAAGUUUCUAGUGAAUAGUUUAGAAGAUAGAAAUUGUACAGCUUAUAAACUUACUAAGGUUUUGUGCAAAAAAUUGGAGUGGUGUUUGAAUAAUUAGUUAAGGAUGUAAUGCAAGAUAAAUAAUAAACAAAAAUUUUGAUAAAAUCAAGUUUUUUUAUUCACUUUCACAGAACAAGAGAAAAUAUCACCUUUUUUUUUUUUUUUUUUUUCUAAUUUGAGUCUCCUAUCUUAAAGGAAAGUUAUUAUUUUCAUGAUCAUGGCUCAGCCACAGCUAUCUUAAACACUAAUGCUUUUCUCCAGUGUUUCAUGGAUUAUGAGUCCUUGGUACAAAAACUAGACUGAACUGGCUACUAAUUAUCUCCUCCUUGUUCUGCUGGGUCUUUCUGUAGCUCUUGUCACUACGAGACCCAGAUGACUUCUGAAAAUUUUCGUUGACUACAGAACUUCCUCUAAUUAAAAAAUAAAUAAAUAGAAAAAAACAAAGCAGAUUAAUUUCCAAGUAAUCCUUCUCUGUGAAAUCUUUUCAGUUCCAUCAGUUCUUUUGUCUAGCUUACAUGUUAAGUUAAGCAUAGGUAUUGAUAGUCACAUCAAACGGCGCUGUCAAGGUUAAAUAAGUAAUGGUCCUUCAUUUUAUUUUGUACAAGACCUGGAUUUUAUUCUCACACCUUUCCAUACAGUCAAAUUAUAUGGGUAUUUUGAUAGACAUGAUUAUUGAAGGAGAUCAUUAAAGAAGUUUUGAUCGAAGGCACUCUGGAUUGUAGCGACCAUACCCUAAAUGAGUUCACAAUCUUAGGGAAUAUGGCCCUGGCAAAAAGCAGAGUCAGAAUGUAGAACUUCAGGAGAGUGAACUCCUGGCUUUUUAAGGAAUUAUUAAAUUGGAUCCCCUGGAAGACUGUCCUUAAAGACAUAGUAAUGGAAUAGAGGUGGCAUCUCUUUGAAGACAUCUUUCUGAGAGGACAAAAGCUCUGCACUCCCGAGCGUAAGAAAUCAAGCAGAGAAGGCUGGAAACUGGUAUAACUAAGCAAGAAUCUGCUGGACAAACUCAAGGAAAUAAAGGAAAAGAACAGGCAGUGGAAGCAGGGACACACGGCCUAGGAAGAAAACAGGGAUGACAUCUGAACAUGCAGAGUUUCAACCAUCAGGAAAGCCAAAGUGAGUUCUUUGCCUCAGUCUUCCCAGUCAGUCAGGCUUCCCAUGCCUCUUACAUUCCUGAAUCUCUAGGCAGGGGUUGGGGUAGCAAUAUCCAAGCAAUAGGAAGUCAAAGAUUACCUCAUAAGACUGAAUGUGUGUAAGUCUAUGGGACUGAAUGGCAUGUACCCCAGGGACCUGAUGGAACUGGAUGAUAUGGUUGCCAAGGCACUCUCCAUCAUAUUUGAAAAGUCAUGGCUGUAAGGCAAAGUACUUAGUGACUGAAAAAAAAAAAGGAAGCAUCACUCCCAUUUUCACAAAAGGGAGAAAGGAAGACCUGGGGAACUACAAGCUAGUGAGCCUAAUCUCUGUUCCAGGGAAGAUCAUGAGGAGAAGAUUUUAGAAGCUAUGUCACAGGCACAUGUGAGUUGAGGAGGUGAUCUGAGACAGCCAGCACAGCUUCACCAUGGGCAGAUGGUGCCAGACAAAUCUGGUGGCCUUACAUGAUGGAGUGACAGCAUUGGUGAGAAAAAGAAGUGCAACUGAUGUCUGCUACAUGGACUUGUGUAAAGCCUUUGGUAUGGUUCCACAUCACAUUCUUAUCUCAUAAUUAUAUAGAUUUGACGGGUGUACUCUGGUGAAUUAAGAAUUCUUUGGAUGGUCACAUGCAGAGGGUUGUUGUUAAUGUUGCUGUGUUCAGGUGGCAGGUCAUGGGUGGAGCUGCUCAGUGGUCUAUCUUGUGUGACAGAACAAGGGGAAAUGGCUUCAGAUUUAAAGAGGGGAGAUUUAGGUUAGAUGUUAAGCAGAAAUUCUUUACUCAGAGGGUGGUGAGGCACUAGACACAACCAAAGAGGUUGUGGAUGCUCCAUCCCUGGAGACAUUCAAGGCCAGAUUGGAUGGGAUCCUGAGCAGCUGAUCUGGUGGGUGGCAGCCCUGAUCAUGGCAGGGGUUGCAACUACAUGAUGUUUAACAUCCCUUCCAAUCUUAGCCAUUAUGUGAUUAAUUCUAUAAUUAUUAUUCCACUAGAGAACAUGGAAUGGGAGACAAUAAGUAACUGGAUUAGUAAGGUGAUUUGCUAUAAAAUGCACACUUACUGAUCUGCAGUCUUACAUCCUCACAUCCAUUUGUUUUAAGUCCUGUAGUGACAGUAAUGAAAUAUAAACUGGGACCUCCUCACAUCAUUCUACAGCUAGAAGAAUAUAAAGCAGACAAUAACACAAAAGUCAAGCCCAUACAUGCAAAAUAUGCCUGCAAAUUUAGGACCUUCCAGUUCAGCAUAUAUAAAUUAGUCAUCUUCUGUUUUAGAUACAGAAAGGCUUUUCCCUCACAAGGCUAUAUCAUACUGUUAUGCUUGGCACAAAACACUGCCAGGAUAACUUUGGGAAGAUAUUUGAUUUUAAAAGUUUUUGUUACGAAUCAGACAAGUAAGCAAGAAAUCACAAAAUCACAUAUCACUCCUGAUUCUAAAUAAUUCAGUGUUUGGUACAAGGUAUUCUAAUAUCUUUAAAGAGUCGACUAAGUAUCAUUAUACUGUUGUGCAUUGCCUUGAAAAACAGAGCAGCAACUCAAAAUUGCAAAAAAAUAUAUGAGCAAAGUACAGAUGAAAAUGAGUCUCCCCAAAUUUUAAGAUAUUGAUUUAUUAUAUCAAAGUAGAUGAUUAAUUACUGCUGUCACAAGAGCUUUGUGCACAGAUACAAACUUAUGUAUGUAUGGAAAAAUCCCAUUUUAUCUUCCAGAGGAGAAAUAUCAGUUUUGUGACUGAGGAUAGCAGGAUUGGAUAAGAAUCAGUUUACAAUUAACUACUAUUUACCAUUUAUAUACUUUUUUCCUUCAUAUCUUUAUAAAUAUUUCAGAGACUUAUUUUUGUCCCUUCGCAUUUUCACCUUUGAAGAACUAUAUUUAGGUUCAGUGAAUGUCUGUAGUAAAAUCAGAUUUAGACCUAGUAUAAAUAAACAUCUGAAAUCUUCAAAACCUUCUACAUAUUGUGCUACACAUGUCUGUGAAGGGGGAGAGAGAAAUUAUGCAACUAAUAAAUGAUUUAAGAAUGUGAAAUGAUUUUGAAUUGGUCUGGUCAACAAGGAAAGCAGGCAUUUUUCUAAGGUAUCUAUCAUAUAAGUAUUGUAGAUUUUUUCCCACUUCUAUUGGCAGCUUCUCUUAGCCUGCUAUCAAUAUAUUCCUUUUGUUUGUGACACAAAAGGCUUCCCACUAUAAUUUAGCAGGUUUUAUUUUCAAAGAAAAAUCUUGCAUUCUUUCUCUCUCCGUGUAUGCAUAACCUUUAUGAGGAAAGCUUUUACUUAGUGGGUGUUUUUUUGUUGUUUUGUUGUUGCUGGUUUUUUUUUUUUUUUUAAUUUCACAUUUACUAAUAAUAUGCUUUUCAGAAAAAGUAGGUGCUUUUACAGCAUCAUACAAGUGCUAUGUUUUGAAGGAGCAAUAUAGCAGUAUGUAUCUUUUUGCCCUUUGAUGUAAAUUCGUGAGGAAGAUAGAUUAUAGCAUCAAGAUGUUUCUCUGUGAGUAAUAAACUACCGAGCACAAAGUUCAUGGCUGAGAAUUGUGUGGGAUACAAGUGACUACCUUCACUACAAUCAAUUAUUAGGAUGAUUAUAUUGUGUCUGGAGAAUAUGAUGCUAAUGACUAGCUAACGUUUAGAAUACACACUCUUGACUUGAAAACCAAUGACAGUUAAAUGCAGCAAAGGGAAAGGCCUAUAUGUUGAGCUAGCAGCUCUCUAGUGUUGAUAAUGAAUAAUUAAAAAUAACAGUCUUUAUGUGUGGCUUGACAGUAUACAUGUCCUUUUAGUAUAUUCCGCUUUGUAAAGAACUUGGCACAAUGACAGCCAAAGAAAGGCAUCUUACCGCAUCCUGUACAGAAACUGUAUAGGAAAGCAGGGAGUUAAACACCCUCACUGCUGGGAGGGCCUAAGCAGGAUUAGCUAUGUAUUUACUGCUAACCUUCUACUACUCUGUCUUCUAAACAAAUAAAUAAUUGAAACCCAUUAUGUCUUUUAGGGGAGUUGCUCACAUGCUUUCUAUAUUCACAUCAAAGCAGAGAUCAGUGUCAAAGAGGCAGCCACAUUUAGCUGAGUCUCUCGGAGACUACUGAUUAAUUAGUUUUGCAUUUUGGAAGUGCAUCCAAAGAUGUAAAAUAGCGUUUGUUUUUACUAUUGCCAAAACUUGUUUAGGAGCUCUCUGGAGGGUGACGGUGAUGUACUCAAGAUGGUUGUGAAAGAAAAGGGCAUACAGUUCAGGUGCCAGAAAUCUCCAACCCCUUCCCUCCCCCCCCCCCCCCCCAUUUCCCCCUUAAGUUUCUGCAUGAGUGUCCAGAGGGAGUGCCUAAAUGAAAGGCGUGCUGGUAUCGAUGGAAGGCAAGAAUUGGGUGAUAAUAGAGAUAUCAACAUUUCCCUUAAUCAAGACAGUAUAAAAUGAAAGUUAUAAAAGGACGGAUAAUUCAGUUCUUAAAAACCAAAUUAAAAUAUUGUCUUAGAUAAGGGACAUGUAAGAUCUGUAAAUCCUGUUUAAAGUGUUGUCGUUUUAAAGUUUUCAUGUCUUGGUUAUUGCAUAACUUUUUUCUUUAUAUACUGAAAUGUGGUAAUAUGAGGUAUGGGGGGUACUCAGUUAUGGCAAAUAUUGCCUACAAAAGUGUGUUCAUGUUAUUUGCCUUUCUGUCUCUGUCUAUAUCAACUCCACAUGCUGCUCUGGUGGCCUGCUUUGUACUUAAUAUAACUUGUCAAAACACAUCUAUCAGAUAUAUGAAAAGGCAAACCUGGGUGGCCAGACUAGUCCAAGCCUGGCGUGGAUUGCAUUUUACCAAGACCACAGAAAUCUCUUUCCUCAAUGCGAUUAAGAUGAAAAGCAGAGUUCAUUGUUGUGCAACCAGAUUUUAAAAUAAUUACAUACAUGCUAGUGCAUUAGUAGGCCAUUUGUGUUUAUUUGAAUCCUACAUAUUGUACUUUUAUGUGGAUCUUAAGUGAUUUUUAAAGCUGUCAGUAAAAAAAAAAAAAAAAAAAAAAAAAGUGAUGUUAUCACUUGUUUUAGGUAGCUUUGUUUUGUUUUUUUUUAAUCCCUUCCUGUUUGCUUCUGUAUACUGAGCUGCUACAAUCCCAGUACCUUAUCUCUUUCCAAGAAAGGUGAGUAUGUAUUACCCUUUGGCUAUUGACUGACAGACUUCUGGCUGUUCUUUGAACCACAGCUAAUGCCACCACAAUAUCUUACAUAUAUGACAUGCUCAGUGUUCACCCUCUGAUUGCCUGAGAACACAUGUUAUAUGAUACAGGCAGGAACGCUGCACAUGGAAUGAAACUCACAGGUUUAUUCUUCUGCUUUCAAUACCUUCUCAUCCUGAAUGUAUAUUGCAGAAUGUAAAUAUGCUUGGUUCAGCAUAUUCACCGAUUUUACAAGUUUUUCCUUCAAAUUUCAAAGUUGAAGUCCUUUUAGGGAAAUCAAGAGUUGCAACAGCAUUAAAACCCUGCACCCCAUACAGCUCAAUUUACAGCAUAUUUAUGCUUACCUUUCCAAUGCACAGGUGGAACAAACUAUUUUAAACAUGACUUUCUGAAGAAAUUUUUGCUUGGAUUUCUCAAAGGAGUCCAAAAUCAUAUUGAAUUUAUGAGCUGAAAAUCACUUCCUCUCCAACCAACAUGGGACACAAUCAUUCUAUAAAAUUGUUGCAGCCUGGGAUCUCCUUGGAAGUGCAAAAUGUGCAAGAGAAUGACCAUGAAAAUAUAUUAACAUUUUUAUCCUGUUUGAGCUGCUAUUACACUUGCAUUCAAAGAAAUGCCUGAAGCACAACUAUUCCGGCACAGCUAGAAUCCUUACAGUCUUAGCUUUCCACAGUCUCAGACUGCAGAGUGAAAAGCAUUGAAAAACACAAGUUUCAUUAAGAAAGAUAACCCUUACCUUCCAGGAGGAUGUAAACUGAGUUUCUACCCGCUGGAGGGACAGGGGCCUGCAGGAGCACAGUGAUACCCAUCAGUGCUUCAGAAUAGUUCCACAUUCUCCUGGCUCACUGGGUGGCUUGGCUUCAAGUGUUGGUUGUAAAGUUAAGGAUUAUCAUUGAGGGCUCUGUAUUUGUGUAAGCGAGGAGAAGAGAGGAAACUGGAGGCAUCCUGCCAAUAUUCUCAAUGCCUGUAUGCUAACUCCACUGGAGGAGAGCAGUGUGAAUGAACUGCUUAGGAGUGGGUUGCAGGAUAUCAUUGUAGUGACACCACAGGCAGAAAAAUUGACACUCAGAGGUAACUUCUUUAAGCUUGGUGGAGACAUAAUAAAGUGGAGUUUUGCUGGCUGUACUGGCACUGAGAGAGUCAGCAGCAAUCAUCUUUCUUCUAAUAACCAAAUGUGCUGAACACAAGCUGGUUAUUGCAAACACAAUUAUUCAGUAAUUGGAUAAGCCUAAAAUAUCUUGGAUACAUCCUUGAUCCAAGAGCUGGCAGCUCACUGAUUAUAUCAUUGUUUGGCAAAGAGGCCUGCAGGCUGCAGGACUCAUAAGAUCCAUACCCAGAGCAGACUGCUGGACCCACUAUCAUGGAAUAGGUUCCAAGUUACUGAUUCAACUACAUUGUUGGAGAACUGGCACAAAUCCUGCUAGGCAUAGACACAAAAUGCUUUAAAGAUCUAAAUAUUAAAGAUCUAAACACUAAACAAGAGCUGUGUAACAGCAUUCUUUCAAGGCUUGCCCGCCCAGGAACAUGAAACAUGCACAAGGUGGUGAAGGAAAAGAGUGGUAGGACUAUAUGGCAUACUGAGGUACUGCUGAUAGAAUUGGUUUUGUCAGAAGUCAACAUCAGAAACAGUUUGAUAUCUCAAUCAAAAAUUUUACUGAGGAAAAUGAAACCAAAUCAAAUCAAAAUAACAAAAACAAAAACAAAAAUGACAGAAAAAAACAGACUUAGCUUAUUUUCUGCUUUCUCAUUCUAGAACAAAGAAAAUAUAUUAGAAAAGCAUUAGUCCUAAAGAACAGACAAAAACUGAAGCAGUCAUAAGCUCAGCAAUAGAGUUAGGAAGCUCAUGAAAUUCAGUCUUUUUCAGACCAAUGUAAUAGAAUAAGGAAAAGUGCAGCUAAAGAUGAACAAUGAUUACAUAAUUUGACGAGGCUGGACUAGGAAGCUAUUACUACAGCUAAAUGAGAAGCUAGGCAGAUGAAAACAGAUUUAGAUAAAAUAAACAUAUACGGGCUAUAAACAUAUAGGGCUACUCUAAGAGUAAUGCCUCCUAUUUUAUCAUGUUGACCUACAAUAUCAGAUGUGAUUGUUGGUGGUUUGACAGUAGAGAUUGAAUCUUCCUGACUGUAUUCCCCUACAUUUUGUUGCUGUGCAACAGAUGGCAGCAGAGGGGCAGUCUGACAAAAUGGCGUCUGACGUGGGAGUGUGUAUGGAUUGAAGGUGUGUCACUGAAUUCCUCUAUGAGAAAAUAAUGACCCAUGGACAUUCACUGAUGCUUGCUGAACAUUUAUAGAGACCAAAGAUUGGACGUGAGCACUGUGAGGUGGUGGAUGGUGCAUUUCAGCAGUGUCAACAUCAACAGUGGGUGGGUGCAGAUUUCUGCUAGCGUGGCAUACAGGCUCUUGUUCAUUGCUGGUGGAAAUGCAUAUCUAAUGGUUGUGACCAUGCUGAAAAGUAGUGUUUUGUAGCUGAGCAUUUGCUCUGUCAAACAGUGUUAUUGUGCUUUUUGCAUCCGUUGCAGUUUCUAUGAAAAGAAAUAGGAGGCAUUACUGUUGGAGUGACCUACAUAUGUAAGCAUCUCUGAAAUACUUAUUUUCCAUUUAUAAGUGAGGGAAGAUAUCUUGAGUUCAAUAAAUAUUGAAGGCAUCUUGUGAUAGACAUAUAUUUCAAUACCUAGGGCAGUUGACAAGUUUUUAAGCCCCACCUGUUUUAGACCUCCAAAAGAUUCAACAAAUGGUCUCAAUUUGGAUAAAAAUUCAAAUGUCCUAGCAAAGUUUAUUCAAUGUAGACAGUACUACUCAAGUGUGUAGGUUCAUAUCUCAAUUAUUCUGUGUGAACACAGGAAAUGGGUCCCCUUGCCAGGCAAGGUAUAGUCCUCAGUGUAAGGUUGACAGAAUCAGGAUUUUAGCACGACUGAAAGCUGAUAGUAAAACAGCUUUAUCUGACUUUUUAUCUGUAGUCAUCCAGGGCUAUCAUGCAGUAGCUUCAGAAAAGGUUUCUAAGCUUUAAUCAUUGUCUUCCAGGCUGUAGUCUCUGUCUUAUUUGAAAUAGCUAUCUUCCCCUGAGUGACUUGUCUGGUUGCAUUUGUGGUACCUGACCUACUUUGCAGCACUUCCCUCGGUACCACCUCAUAAUCUGAUGGCCCAAGAAAACACUGUGAAUUGAAACUCACUCCCAAUAAAGGACAAUAAUUAAAUAAAAAUAAAAACACAUUUGACAGCCCACAACAAAGGCAAAUCUCAACAGCUUUUGCAUGUGUCUGCCUGCUGAAUCAAGCAGUAGUUCCUGUCCCCACAGUGCUGCAGGAUGAUGGAUCACCAAAAUGACAAAAAAUCAGAGUAAUAUUUUGCAGUGUAUUCUUUCUCCUCUCUGGAAUCUUGGAGAACAUCAGACACAUUAAUUAAUCAUCUCUAUUUUCCUGAGGUUUACUGUUAGACCCGUUUAACAGGUGGGUAAACCACUGCACAAAAGUGUUGUGACUUGCCUUCUCUGAACUCUACACCUACAUUGGGUCAUGAUGCUCCAGCACUCCAGGCUUUAUUUAGAACAACUCUGUCAUUUCUUUAAUGGUAGGCAAUUUCCCUUCCUUUAGGAUGGAUCUUACAUCCUCACGAUUUGCAAUUUAAAUAUCAUGGGAGAUGAAUGAGUCAAUGGUAAAAUUCCCAUUGAGUUUAAGGAGUGUAAGGACAUGAGAUUUAUUUCUGAAGAGCUUGUGUGCUUGAAAGCAUUUGUUUUUCAUCUCCCCUCUGGCCCACAGUGUUAUUAACCAGUUAAAUAACAGGUGUUGCCUCUCCUAGCAGAUUUGUCCCCUGAUUUGAGCUUUGUGCAACCAGAUUGUCACUCACUUAGCAGAAGACCACAUCAAAUGUGGAAAGGAAAGGUUACUGCCAUUUUAUACAGUACAGUGAAAUAAUUUCCAGUUUCAAUUUUGAAUACUGUUUUGGUCACUUAAACUUUGUUAAUCAAUGAGUUUGUAUUGCAGUAUGAAAGAACAUUCCCGUGGAGGUAAGAUUUCUAAACUUGCACCUGUACCUGAUAGGAUAACAACUAUGGCACCAAAUUACGCCAGCUGAUUGCAAGCCUGUGUCAUGUACCAGUAGAAAUUACCUUAAGCUUUUUCAGCUUUACAGAUUUUCCUAUAGUGAGGCCAUUCUAUUAAUCAGGGGAUAACACAGUAGUUUCUGCCCAUAGUGUGUGAGCUGCAAUCAAUGGCAUACAAGAUUUCAAAAGCCAUAUUCCAGCAGCUUUCUCACCAGUCACAAGUGUAUGGAGAAAAGUCAUGUGUCCUUAAUCAAACAAAUUAGUAAUGUAGAGUUUAUUUCCACUUGGCGCCAAAAUAGUGAGGACAUUGGCACUUCUCUUCUCCUUCUGUUGUCUCUUUGGCUUAUUUUCUUGUGCCCAGUGUUAGAUGACGGUAGACGCCAGUUUCAGCUCACAGUCUCCUGGACAGUGCCUAGGACAGCUUUCACAAAGAAGAAGGGGGAAGGGGAGAAGCUCACAUGCUGCUGUGUUACCCUUCUUCAUCCCUAUGGGAUUGCCUCUUGUUCUACUGCAGACCUGAGAGGCUGCCUUUUCACUCAGUUGAUUUAAUUUAAUUAGCCUCUGUGAAGCAGAGAUUUAAAGUUGCUAAACCAAAGCUUACAAGAAUCCAGUUGACAAAAUGCAAGGGACAAAAUCAAAAGCUAAUUUUUUGCAAAGUUCACUGUGGACCAGCGUGAAAUACAUGGUAAAGAUCAAAAAGUCUUAGAUAUUUGUCAAGAAUAUGAGGCUUCAAAGACAGGGUAAUUUAGCUUAAUUCUGAAGAGCAUUAGCAGACCCGCAAUAAAGAAUUAAAUCUUGUCUCUUGUGCUUCAGUUAGAUUUUCAGAUAUGCAGUUCUGUAAUUCAGCAAAAUACCACACAGUAUGUGCAAAAUAAUAAUAAAAAUAUUCCUUGACCCAUUUUCUUAAGCUUUAUUCCCAAUUAUCUUUGUUGCUUCUGAAAAGGUUAUUUUUUAUUUCAGGUAUUGAAAUAUCUACAGCUGUUAUACUUCAAAAGUUCCUCCUAUUUUAAAAUAAAUUACAUUUUCUGUUUUUUUUUUCCCAUUUAAAUCUAUCAAUUUUUUAUUGUAUCCAGUGUGUUCUUCUCUCUCUGAUAUUAGCUCUUUUAAUUUACUUCAGUUGACUCAUUUAUUUUCUUGCUAUCUUCUGAGGUUUGUAACAGUACUAACUGGUCAAUCAAAACACAGCAGGAGCUAAACUCUUCACCUUCACAACUGACAUUCUUUCCUCUUUAGAAGAAGCCAAAUCCUGGCUUCUUCUUUUACCUCUGUCUUCGUGAGGUUUUGGAAACAGUGUCUAUAAUCCUAGAUUCCACACAGCCCCAAUAAUUCCUUAUUUGUAUAACCUCACCAAGGUUGAAGGAUUAAGUGGAUCUCUCUCUCUCACAAGAAUACUUUGUGGAUCCAACUGAGCUGUGUUGAACUGAAAAGUCAUGCUCUAGAAAAUGUGUUUCUUACUAUACAGUCCUUUUCGUGUUACAUUUUACUCUGAGAAGUAAUAAAUUAAGAGCCAGUGACUGUUCAGUAAGUCAAAAAGGAAGAUAAAUAAAACAAUAAUUUAUCAAAUAUUAACUUAUAUUUUUUCUUAUUUUAAGCAUGCUUUUCUGAAAUUCUGGAAGCUGAAUGCUCUGUUUUGUCUACUCUAAUUGAUUUCAUUUUUAUCUCAUACUUUUCAUUGUGGAGUCUAUCAUGCUUCAUCUAAUUCUGAAUGUGGAAAUGAUUGUGAAAUUAACACGUUAGACCAGUACAGCAAACUUGUCUCUCUCUCACAAGCUGCUGCACUCAGUCACUCAGUGCCUUUCUCUCAGUUGAAUUAUGCAGUGGUCAACUCUCUUCCAUACAAUGGGUUUUGCAAGACUGCUGAAUGGAUGUUUUUGGCAUGGUCUCAUUUAGCAGAUAUUCCCAUGUGGUUUCCAUGCAUCCCCAUACUAAUGCUGUUCUCUGUGUAAACACAUGGAUUGCAUUACUCGAUGCCCUUUUGAUCUAAACAUAAAAUAAAUUUUUUUUUUAAAUAUCCCAAACUAAUAAGAAGUCGGAUUUCAUUUCAAGCUACUGGGCAACAGCACAGUUUCCCCUCUUAUGGAUCUUUCACCUGUGGCUACAAUCCUAGAUGCAUUCUGAAUCACUCUUUUCUCUUCUGCUGGCACUGGCUCUUCCCUUGAAUUUAUGUGUGUGUCUGUGUGAUUUUUCCCUUACUCUUAUUUUCUGGCUUCAUAACCUCCCAUGAGUCUUCAACCACUGCUAAAAAAUGCCUGCUUGCUUCUGCUGGGUGGGAAAACAUUAAAACACUGGGAAGGAUGGUCAUUCUCUCUUUGCCAGCCUGUUUUUUUGAGGCAGAUUCCCCACUGGUGUAAAUAGCUGAGCUUCUAUGAAUUCAUGUUACUUACACUGAGGAUCUGGGCCUUUGAUUUACUUUUCCCAGCUGUAGCCAUACUGGCUUGUUCAUUUACUUUUAUAACUGUGCCAUUCAAUUCCAUCUGAGCACUACUAUGGUGCUGUGAUUUAGCUUAGACCCUACUUAACACAAAAUUUAUUAUCUUGAUAGAUAAAUGAUUACUGUAUACUAUUUCUCCUAAUAACUUGCAUACUUCUGAUAACAUAAUGUGUUGAGCACAUUGGAUGCAGAAUGGUCCCAGGUGCUUUAUAACAUAGUAUAUGAGCUAUAUAGGAAGAUAACUUUGCUCCCUACUGAAAUGCAGCCAUCUCUGCUGUGAAGCACACAUAACCACACUGCAGAAAAUGUUGGGAUGCAAAGUCGUGUCCAAUUGAAACUGCAAGGGGAAUUUUGUGUAAGUAGAAUAUAAUUACCCAAGCUGGAUGUCAGCCAGGAUUCAGGGAACACCCUGGAUUUUGGAGGAACUGCCAAUGGGAGAUGGAGAUGUUACUACAGGCAUACAUGUUCUCAUUUCUUGAUUAAUUCCAAGAGGAUAAGUUGUUGUCUUUUAAUUUCCUCUUUACUGCUUAUCUUUUUUUUUUAUCAGCUGCUCUUUCUGUAGCCUUAUUAUGCGUCAUGUUCUGAUUUCUCUCUUCUUACAUUUCCUCUCUUACAUUUCACACAUCCCAGUGUUCCCCCCCUCCCCAAACAUUCUUUCAUCCAAAGUCCUAGCAAAAAAGACAAAAUUAUCUGUUUACAUCAUGUUGCUGAAUAAAAUGUUUGCUAUAUGAGGGUAAUAGAUUUCUCCAUAUAAGUACAUACAGAAUUUGCAGAAUCAAAAAUAGUAAAGUAUGUUUGUUAGUUUGUUUUUCCCCUUGAUACUUAAUUUUCUCCCCUCCUUGCCAAGAUCAUGCAAUUGAAGAAUGGUGAAAUACUCUAAAUGUUGUGUCCAUACCAAGACCUCCCCACACACAACCCUCUCCCAAACUGCUUGAGGCUUACACUCAAAUCAUUGUCAGAAACUUUCAACUAGGAAAGGGCUUGAUGCUGGAAAGCCAUGUGAUACUGAGGUGAAUAUAGGAAGUCAGAAAAAUGAACUCUAUAAUUCUUCAUUUCGCAGUAUAAAGCAGAUCUCCACUGGCUCCUGAGCCAUAGCGCCAGGGUGCCUUGGCAGCACACUCUGGCACAGCUAACCUUGGGCAAGGCUUUCACUCCAAAACAUGUCACUGAGUGUCAUGGGCUGUAUUUCAGUGUCUGCUCUACCAGUGAUCAACUGUCCAACACUUUGUUAGAGGCUUAGACCAACUUGAGAGAUUUGGAACAAUCUUUGGAUUCCAUGGGCAAGGACUCACUGUUCAGAGUGGCUGGGAUUACUGUUUGUAUGUUUGUGGAAAAAGAGGUCUCCUUCAUCUGCAGGCAUCAAAAUCUUGGUAAAAAUGAGAAUCUGCUCCCUUAUCUUUCACAGUAACUAUUAAAUAUAUGAAACAUUUAGUGGACAGUAUGCUGGCUGACCCGUGUCUCUCCCGCUCAAAGUAGCAUGUUCCUCUUUACUCUAAUGCAAUUUUUCACUCUACUAAGUGAAAUCAAAUGUCAAAGUUCCCUAAACUUUGCUGGCUGAAAUGUGAAUUUUUCUCCUAACUUUGUUGCAACAUUGUCUCACUUUCUGUGUGAAAUGUUCCACUGUAAUCAAAGGCUGAUGAAAUAUCAAGGCUCGAUUAAUUAUUAUAGUGCCUAGCAGCAGUGCUGGAGUUGGUGGGUGGAGAACUCAUUCCUUUCAAUUUUGCAUUGAGAUCUAUCCUGUAACAUGAGUUCUCAGGUCAAGAUCUCAACAUAUACUUUGUGGAGAGUUUCAUUCAAUCUUCACACAUUAGGAGAUGUGCUCUUCAAUAUCGAUACAGUCCUAAAGUAAAUGUUUAUUUGUUUUACUUUGAAUACCAUCCCCUUUUUUCCCUUACCUGUGCACCUUGAAUCAAUUUGAAAUUUUAGAGUUAAUGUUGUGUUUGCUGAACUGAUUGUCAGAUGGUUUAUGUGCGCAUGAUGAAUCCCUAAUAAAUUGUCAACUAACCAUGCAACCAUGUGAGUGAAGGGGAUGAUGGUUACAACACGAGCUAGUGUAUUUUAGAAUGAAAAAUAGAAAAAUCUUGUCAGUAUGUCCUUCUUGUUCUUGAAGCAAGAGAGAAUCAGAGCUUUCCUUUUGGCUGGAGAUUCGGCAGAUGUUCAUUUUAGUGUACUUAAUUAGAUGCAUUGUCAGUGACAUGAACUUUUGUUAAGGGAAACUAAAAAUACUUGAAUUAUAAACAGAAAUUGAGUGUAAUAAUUGUACAUAUUAUUUACUGGAAAGAGUUGAAUUUAUUAUUAUGGACAUAAUUGUCAUCAGGGUUAUCACUCUUAUUACAGCUUUGCUGAGAUGGUAAUUCCAAAGCCCAGAGGAGACAACUGUGCUAUACAGAAGGUGAACAUAAAAUGAAAAUCAGGUCCCUGAUCCAAACAGUUUGCAAGCUAGGGAAUAAAAAAAAAACCUAUAGUUUCUGAAAGAAGAAUUCAUUUGUGAUUAAAUAUCUUUUAUUUUCUAUCAGAUGAUUUAUAGAUGCUUUUAAAACUCUGGAACUGCUCAAAACUUCAUUGAAAUCAAUGCAAAAGCACAGCUAGGACUGAUUUAUUCCUUGUCAUGUGAAAUCCUACAGUUUAUCCAUACCAGAACCAUUUUCUGUAGAACUAAAACGAAACCACUGCUGGUGUGAAAUACAGCAAGUUUUACACACACGGUUUCUUCCAAAAGAAAAAGAAAGAAAGAAAGAAAGAAAGAAAGAAAGAAAGAAAGAAAGAAAGAAAGAAAGAAAGAAAGAAAGAAAGAAAGAAAGAAAGAAAGAAAGAAAGAAAGAAAGAAAGAAAGAAAGAAAGAAAGAAAGAAAGAAAGAAAGAAAGAAAGAAAGAAAAAGGAAAAAGAAAAGUAAACGAAAAAGGCUUGACUAUUUAAUGGCAGAAAACAAACAAGUCUAUCUCACCAAGAUUCCUGGCAGAGUGCGAGCAGAUCUGGCCUAGUGCAAUUCUUGUCUUCUUUUGAGUUUGCUGAGGAUACUGGCAUAAUCUCUCUGUUUUUUUCCAUCUGAUCUCAAGUGACCGCAACUGUUCAGGGCUUUGGUUUUCUCUGAUCUAAAUGAUUGCAGCUCAAGCACCAGAGUGUCCCCAAGCACCAUGCUGGGAGGCUGGCUCCGCACUGACUCAGAGGGAGCAUUCCCAUCUAGCUGACUCACCAGCACUCAAGUGCACUGCCAGCGAUCCAGAUACUAAACUGAUCCUAUCCUCCAUCAUCAUGGGGAGGGGGAGGGAGAACAGAUAAAUUCUUAAAAAUGAAAUACUGAUGGUACUUAGUGCAUCAAUUGGGCCAUUUUGCCAUAUGCAAGAGACCAAACAAAACAAUUUAAAUGUCCAAGUUAUUCAAGUUUGUAAAGCACAUGCUGUGAGAGUUUCUGCUUUUUUUUUUUUGUUGUUUUGUUUUUUUCCCAUAGGGUUAUUUAUUACAUAUUGCAUCCAGACAAAUUCGUUGUCCUUUCAAUGGGACUGCACAAGUAGGGUUUUCAAACUUAAUUUUUUCCCCUCUAUCUAGACUCUGUGAAAUGUAUGUGAGGAGAGAGUUUGUAUAGUCAUUAUCUUUUAUUAGAUUAACUGAUACAGUUGGUAAAAAACAAGCUUUAAGGCAAAUAAGCUCUUCAUCAGGUUUCAAAUCAUGUAAAGGCAGCAAUGGAAAAGAGCAUACAAUAUGAUUUACUAUUAUUUUUGGGUUUGUUUUCAUGUUAGGUUUGUAAAGUUUCUUUCAAUGUAACAAAUACUGCAUUUGUAGCAGUUUUUUUGUUUGUUUGUUUGUGUCAGAUGCUUUUAUGGUCUACAGAACAAA